CGGCUUCUCCCUCUUACAAGUCUCUACAGAGUACAGAGACCCAACCCUCUCCUCUCUGAGAAAAAUUGGAUACAGAUAGAGAGGAGAAGAGAAUAAUCUUUCAGAUUCUUUCCAAGAAUGGGAGAAGCGGCGGUGGAGAUAGUGAAGCCUCGUACGGACACACGAGAGUACAGAAGAAUCGUUCUCCGGAACUCUCUCGAAGCCCUCCUCAUCAGCGAUCCUGAUACCGAUAAGGUCACUCUUUCAAUUCUUGAUGGUUUUUCUUGUUUUUCUUGGACGCGAUGGUCAGAUAAUCGGCUAUGUUGAUUUUUUUUCCUUCUUUUUCUUUCUUGGUCUCAGGCGGCGGCAUCCAUGAGUGUGAGUGUCGGUUCCUUCAGCGAUCCCGAGGGCUUCCCAGGCCUUGCACAUUUCCUAGGUAAUUUUUGGUUUCUUGUCAAUGAAAUUUACAAGUGUUUUGUAGUUGUAGUGAUAGAUACCAUGUCUGAGAAUCGAAUUUUGAAUUGUUCGUUCAAGAAUGGAAACUUUGAAAAGUUUUCGUUAAAUAAUGGAAGAUUUUGACAUUUUUAGUUUCUUAUGAAUGAAAUUAUAAGUUUCUUGGUAUUCUAGGAUUCUAGUGAUAGAAACAUCCGGAUUUUUGGAUUGCCUUGUCUUGCUAUGCGUUUGAGUGAAUUUGAAUUUUCAGUUCGAUAUCUUACUUCUUUUCUUUUUCUUUUUAAGUCUUAGUUAAAAUAGAAUCAUAUAUUUGUAUUUAAAAUUUUUUUGGUUUAUUAUAAAUGAAAUUAUAAGUUUAUUUUUAGUUCGAGUGAUAAUUGCGAUGUCUGGGAAUGAAUUCAUUUUCUUUGCUUUUUUUUUUUUUUUUUUUUUUUUUUUUUUUUUCCAAUUUUUGGUCCAUGCACACAAAAGUAUAGAUUUCUUUGCAGUUUUGGUAAGGACAUGUGCUGAUUGUUGUCCCAUGAAUUUAAAUUCUUUCAUUUAAUCAUAUAUAUUCUUUGUGGUUUUAGUGAUUAAUACGUGAUAAACGAGCAUUUUAUGCUUCAAUUGAGUUUGAAUUCUUCUUGGGUAAUGGAAACCUCUUGCAAUUUUUGGUCUGUAUAACUGAAAUCAUGAGUUUCUUUAUAGUUUUAGUAAUAGAUGUGCUAAUUGUUGCAUGGGGAUGCCUCACUAGGAAUUUGAAAUCUGGUUUAGUGAAGGAAUCUCUUGUAUAUUGAUGUGCACAUAGAAUACUUAAAAAAGAAGACAUAGUUCAUUCAGUGUUGCGGUUACAACCAGGGUUUGAAAAAUCGGAAAUCGGAAAUAAUUGUCGAAAUUUCGGUGAAAUAUCGCUUAUCUAUGGUGGUCGAAAUGAAAUCGGCAAAGACCUGGCAAAGACGGAAAAUCGCCCAAAAAUCGAUGAAAUCAAUUGAAAAAAUCCUAUAUAAAUAUAUAUUUUAAUUUAUCCGUGUUUUUUUAAUUUUUUUUUUCCAAUUUAUCUUUUAUUUAAAAUUUAUAUCACCCUUUUAUUUUAUAUUAUCUUUUUAUUUUUAACUAUUUUUUAUAUUUAUCUCAUUAAUCUCAUUUUAAAAAAUUACUACCACUUCACUUUAAUUUUUUUAUAUUUAUCCUUCUAAUUUUAUUUAAUUUUAAAUGUUUUUAUUUUAAAAAUAUUAAAAAUAUGAAUUUAUUCAAAAAUUGAUAAAAUAUAAAAAAAUUAAUAAAGUUUUAAUAUUUUAUAAAUUAAAAUUAAUUUGAUAAAAUGAAUUAUUAAUAUAAUUUUUAAUAAUUUUAAUUAUUUAAAUAAAUUAAUGUUAAUAGCAAAAAAAUUGUCACCACAAAUUUGUAACAAAAUUUUAGAAAUUAAAUCUCAAAUAAAAUAUUUUAUGUAAAUUGAUUUAAUUUUUUAUUUAAAAUGUAAUAAAACAUGUUUUAAUAAAAAUAGUUUUUAAUUCUUAAAAUAAAUGAAUAUAAAUAUAUUAAAGGAAUUUAAGUUAAUUUUUUCUUAAAAAAAUUGAUAAACAUUAUCUUUGAUCAUAUCUAUGUCAUACUCACAAAAUAACUUUAAUAUGUGUUUUCCUGUUUAUUUUAUCAUUUUUUUUUGAAGUUUUUCUAAGAAUUUUUAAUAAUUUCUGUCUCAUUGAUAUUUUUGUCAAAAUAUUCACCAAUAUUAUUGAUAUAUCUGUAAAAUUCCAGUACUGAUAUAUUUGUGUUUGCCGGUAUUUCAAACCUUGGUUACAACCAAGAGAUACUUCAUAUUCCUAUGAUCAUAAAUUUGCAGCCAUACCUUGAUUGGGGGUUGAUACGAGCAAAUUAUUUAAUUGCUUUCAUAUUCUACAGGACAACUAUAAGGCCUGCUGUGUUAUAGUACAUGAUGAUGAACAAUUAGAAACCAUGCUAACAAAUGAGAAAAGCCGAAAUGAGGGGUGUUAAGAUGGAUGAGUGGUAAUAUGAGAAGAUAUAGAUUAAGAAAUGAUUGUAUUUGUAAGAAGUUAGAGAUGGAAUCAAUGAAGCAGAGGCCUGCCUAGAAUUGUAAAAUAAUAAAAAAAUAAAAAAUCUUUUUAAUUGUUUUAUUGAUGGUUUGAGUUGAAUGGUAAUUUAAUGUUCAGUGCCUGUUGGAUUAUACUGGAAAAUAAAUUAAUUGUCUUUGCAUGGCUGAGAAGAUUUAUAUAUCAAGAGUUGUGAAUUCAAUAUACCCCAAAAACCAAAAAAUAAAAAAUAAAAGGAGUGGUAUGGUUUAUGAUUAAUUGUGAAUUGAAAAUUGGUUGUGGAGGCUUGAGGCAGAUUUAGUUAUGGUGCAGAUUAGGGUGAAAAAUCAUGAUCAUUUAAAGUAUUCUCUAUAGGCCGUCCACCUAAAUGUAGGGAAGAAGGAACACAUUUACAGUUUCAUAAGGAGAGCAUGAGCAAUGGUCAAAGGCAGGGUUCCUUCAUGGGAAAAUGGGUUACUUAAACCAGGAAGCUACUUUAACCAAAUGCAUUUUAACAAAUUUUAGAACAUGUUACUUCACAUUUUUGAAUGUCUUUAUGAAAUCUUAAUGACAAGUUGAAACCUUCUGAAAUUCCAACCUGGUACAGUGAUCAGAUCUUACACUAGUGCAGUUCCAAGCAGGUGUAGUGGUGGGAUCUUAUGCUUGUGAUUGGAUGUUAAUUUGUCAAGUCUUUGAUGUUCAGUUGUUUGGAAUGAAGAUAACCUGAAAUUUGCAUUUUUAUGGUCAUUUCCUUUUUAACCAGCCAGUUUGUAAUUUCAGACUAUAUUUUUGGCUUUUGCUUAAAUUUUAAAAUCAAUCUCUUGACUUGAUGGGUAGAAUUGCUCAUACUGGCAGCUUUGUAUUUUGAUAAUUUGGGUACAUAAACACUGUGUAACAUGCUUAUGAAGUUGCCCUAUGUGGAAAUGAAAUUAAAUUGCAACAACUUCUCCUUGCUUCUCCAGAUGAAUUAAAGAAAAAUCCUAUAUGGAUUUAAUAGGAAUUUUUUUCUGAAUUUUUUUUUAUGCCAAGUUAUAAAUUUUUGCCUAGCAUUUUAUACAUAUCUUGUUUAAUUCCAAAUUUUAUUACAUUGAACACUUAUUAACAUUCUCUUAAGUCUAGAAUACUUUAGGCAUCUUUCUUUGGUUAAGGAGCUUUUGUGGCUUUGCCUUUGUGGAGUACUCUUGUUUGAAAUUUUCUUUGUGUGAUUUGCCUUCUGAUUCUUCUGUUUUGCAGAGCAUAUGCUGUUUUAUGCCAGUGAAAAAUAUCCAUUGGAAGACAGUUACUCAAAGUAUAUUACAGAGGUACUAUCAUAACUUUAAUGGAGAUCUAUCAAAAAAAAUUCAUACCUUUAGUGGGGAUGCCUGGUUAAUCUUGAUUAUAUUAUUAAUAAUGGGUCACUUGUUCUGGAAGUUUCACUCUUUUUUACUCUGUUUUUCUUUCUGAUUAUCCAUUUUGUUCUUUGUAAUGGUAGAUCUUUACUGCAAGAAAUGGAGUUGGAGGAUGAAAACAUCUUUUCUUGCAUUUGGAUUCACCCAAAGGAUGCCUCUUCUAGUGAGGUGGUCAGUCUAAUUAUAAGGCAUUGGGAUGUAAGAGAGUAAAAGUUUUCCUCCUUGAAGCCAAAUUCUUAAUUGUUCAAUGAGCCUUUUUUUUUUCUUUUCUGUUCAUAAGUCCUAACCUCAAGCGCUAUUUUAUGUCUUUCAAUCGGGUUAAAAGAAUCUUAUUUCAGGUUUAAAUACAAAGGAACUAUUUUAAGGAAUUUCAGGGAAACUUGGUCAGAUAUUCCCCUUUAUGACGUGAUUUUCUGUGGUCCAAUUACCAAGAUAGCCUGACUUGCAACUUAGUGUUUCUGAAUAGAAAUAACAUUAUUUGAAAGUGUUUCUUUUCAUCUGGUACAUGAGACAAAGGACCAGAAGACUUUAGUAGUAAUGUGGCUUAGCUGUACUUCUAUUCAUGCAUCUUGGAGAGAGACCUUUUUUCUUGAGUGUGUGUGGAGAAUUUGUCUAUUAGGGUCUUUUUUGGGGUCAUUUGUAAGUGGAAGAGCUUUUUCUAUGAUUAUCUUUUGCAAGAAUUAAGUCAUGGUGGGAAAGUAUUAUGCUUGUUAUCAUUUCUCAAGAUGAUUUCUUUUUCUUCCUUUUCCCCUUUUAUGGAGGAUUUAUUGUGUUUCCAUAUGCCCUUUAUCCAUUAGUUAGGUUUCUCCUCCUUAACUUGUGUGUGCAAUUCUGUUUCCCUUUCCUCAAUGCCAUUGUAUAUCUUUUAGGAGCCAUAGCUUGGUGCGAUGGUAGAUUCUUGGGCUUUAAAGCAUGAAAAUGCAAGUUUGAGUCUGUGCAGCCACUUCCUGUAAAUUGCUGAAGGUUAGGCCCUUUAUUGGUCCACCCUUUCCCAUUUCUUGGAAAAGCUAAAAUAUAGGACUUGCACUGGGUAAUGGUGUUUUUAUGAAAUGAAGAGAUAUUUUAUUAUUUAUUCCAUAUAUAUUUUUGUAUAAAAUAUUUCUUGUAUGACUGCUGCCUUAUGUUAUUGACCUAUGUUUUCCUCUUGUUUUUUUUUUUUCAUGCAUAGCAUGGCGGUAGUACAAAUGCUUUUACAGCUUCUGAGCACACCAACUAUUUCUUUGAUGUGAACACUGAUUGUUUUGAAGAGGCUUUGGACAGGUAGAUGCUUUCUCUUUCUCUCGUCUUUUGGCUGUGGUUUUUGUAUAUCUUCUUUUAUAGUUAGCAAUCUCUGAUGUUUUCAUAUGGUUUACCAAUCAGAUUUGCACAGUUCUUUGUCAAACCAUUGAUGUCAGCUGAUGCUACCACUAGAGAAAUUAAAGCUGUUGAUUCUGGUUAGAUUUUCCUUUGUGAUUUAAAUGCAAGCUUCCAUAUUUAAUGAAUUAUUGUUAAUCAUCAUCUCUUUUUCCUUAUCCAGAGAAUAAAAAAAACUUGCUGUCUGAUGCUUGGAGAAUGGAUCAGGUAUCCUUUAUUUUAGCAUGUAAUGUAAUACCUAUGCUAACUUUUCUUAGGCCAUUUAGUAAGUGCAAUAUUCUGGAAAUUUAAACUUUGUGGGCCCUAUUUCAAAUUUAAAUUCAUUAGCAAACCCUGGAAAUAGUUCAAAAAUCAUAUUGCAACUCUCAUGUUUGUGUUGCUGUUACCAUAAUUGCCUAUUCCACAGUUCAGUUUCCUUCUUUUCCCACUUUCUGGAAGAAUUGGUGGCCACAUGCCCCCUUGCUCUCAUCUUAGUAUAUUUUUAGUUGUAGUAAGCAACAGGAGUUUGUGGAACCAUUUUCUCAAAACUUCUUUAGAAAUUCAUCAUUCCACCUAGGUCUAUGUCAUAUAGUAGUAUUGUUUCUAUGAGAAAUAGAAACAAUGAGAAAUAUACUUCUAAUUGCUUUUUCUUUUUUCUGCAUGAAAUUGCCUUCUCUACAGCUUCAAAAACAUGUUAGUGCAGAAGGUCAUCCAUAUCAUAAAUUCAGUACAGGUCAGUGACUUCAUAUUUUUUGAAUAAUAAUCAGUUAAGCAAAAAAAUUACCUAUUUUCCUGUACUAGAGUCAGGUGCAGCCUGUUAAGUUAUUGUUCUUAUUAGUAUUAAUGAAGAUAAGGGUUCUGAAAACAGAAAAAGGCUUCCAAAUUUUUUGUUUUGUCUUGUUCACUUAAAUUGAGAGAGAGAGAGAGAGAGAAGCUAUCAUUUCUUACAACUAAAUGUGGCAAAAAAUUUUCAUGCAUAGGAAACAGGGAUACUUUGGAGGUAAAGCCAAAAGAGAAGGGUCUAGAUACAAGGCAUGAGCUUAUUAAAUUCUAUGAAGAGCAUUAUUCAGCCAACCUCAUGCAUUUGGUUGUAUAUACAAAAGGUAAGUAGUUUUCCCUGCAAUUGUUAGGACAUGAGUACACUUGGAAUUGUGUGAGAUGUCUACAAUUAUGACUUGUUGAUAUUGCAGAGAGUCUUGAUAAAAUUCAGAGCCUGGUGGAGCACAAAUUCCAGGAAAUCCAAAAUAAAGAUCGUAUCAAUUUCCAUAUUUGUGGUCAGCCUUGCACAUCUGAACAUUUACAGGUAUUCAUAGUACUAGUGCAGUGGCCUGGUAAAAUGGCCAUAGUUGUCGCUACUGACAUUUUUCCCACAAAAAUAGCACUAGUUGUCACACUUCUAGAACUUAUUUUAAUGCAAAGAAAUAUUAGUAGUGUAAUGUCUUCAACUUCUAAAAAGAUAUUCCCAUGUUUCCUUCUUUAUGUCGUCCAUACAUUCCAGAUUCUUGUCAAGACUGUACCAAUAAAACAAGGUCACAAGUUGAUAGUUGUCUGGCCAAUAACUCCAAGCAUUCACAAUUACAAGGAAGGGCCAUGCAGAUAUCUUGGUCACCUUAUUGGCCAUGAAGGGAAAGGAUCAUUAUUUUACAUCUUGAAGACAUUGGGUAAGUUCUAGACAUCCUUGACAUGCUUCAUAUUUUGACACUUUGGAUUGUUGUUGUUCAUUCAUGCUUGGAAGCUGAAAUCUUGCUUGGAAUUUUUGUAGGCAUUGAUAUGGUUGUAAUUUUCACUAUGAUACUUUGAACUUCCUUUUAGAUUAAUAACAUUAGUAUAACUUCUGACUAUAAGAAUGCUUUAUAUAUAUGUAUAUUUGAAUUUAUACCACCGAUUUCAUAUAACGAACAAAAAUGAAUAAAUAAUACUAAUUCCUUCUUCAAUAUAAAAUAAAUUUUAUAUAAGUUUUAAAUUAAUAACAUUAGUAUAGCUCUUGGCUAUAAUGAAAUAUAAAAUUAUUUCUAAAUAGCUUCUAGCUAUAAGAAUGAUUUUUCCAUUACUUCUAUUCAUAUGAUAAUUUGCAUAUAGUAUUUGGAAAUAAUAAUAUUAAAUGAGAUUGUUCUCUAACUAUGACAAAUCAAAAUAAUUUGUUCAAACUACCCAUCAAAAAAAAAAAAAAAUUUGUUCAAACUAGUAAUCAAUUUUUUUGGUGGUUCACCAAGGCAUGGUGACAGUGUGUAGCUGAUUUCAGCUGGAUUAGGAUAGGAGGUGGACACUGAUUUCCUUGAGAUAUGAAUUGACACCCUCAGACCUCACACUGUAAUGGUGGCUGUAUCAUGUGAUUUUUACUUUCUAAAAGUCAAGAAUCUUGGUUCAAUUUAUCACUGCACAAUAAGAGUGUUCACUCUAGGUCAACUCCCUGCUUUCCUAAAGAUUAUUGAAAUCUUCUGCAAAUAUACAUAAUUUUAUAUUAACAAACUUCCUUCAGGGCACCACUCCUCUCUUCUACGCCCCCUCCUGUCAGCAUUUUCCUCAAACUCAAACACCUCAGCAGCCCACAGGAUUGAUCUGUUUCAUCAAAGAAUCCACCACCAACACCUUAUAAUAGGUGUGGUAAGGCACAACCACACCUUAUAAUCUCUUACACAAGCACACUGACAAAGGUUGUAUAUGCUUGGUAAUACUGGUUGAAUACAAAUGUUGAACAUCCUACGGUUUCUAUUUUACUUUUGCACGUUUUUUUUUUUUUUUUUUAACUUCUUUUUUAUAGGAAUUUUUGCAUGAUUAUUUACUGGUUAUAACAUGUGUAUGCUUUUUUUAUGUCUACUUUUCUGAAGGUACAAAUACUGUUCAUUGGAUAUACCUGAUUUAGUUACUUCUGAAAAAAAUAAAAUAACUUGCAGGAUGGGCUACUAGUUUAUCAGCAUGGGAAGAGGAUUGGACUUGUGAAUUUUCUUUCUUUGAGGUGGUUAUUGAUCUAACUGAUGCUGGUCAUGGUUAGUAAUUUUUUUUCUCAAUAUCCAUUUUUCCUUCUUUUGAUUAAUGCAAUAAAUAUAUUUAUUUUUUUUGUGGAGAUUUCAUUGAUCUUCUUUUCCUACAGAGGGAGCUUUGUUUAUAUUUUUUUCCUUUGUGAGAAAUUCGCAGUGUCCUUUUUACUUGUGCUGAUUGAUUUGCUGGACUGACGUUGGUGCCCUUAUCUGUAUUACAGAACACAUGCAAGAUAUUGUUGGGUUGCUCUUCAAAUAUAUUAGCCUCCUACAGCAGACUGGUGUUUGCAAAUGGAUAUUUGAUGAGGUACAUGUUGUUGGUGCCUCCAUGAUUGAGGCUUCAAAUGAUAAACUUUUAUGGGAAAGAUCAUUUCAUUGCUUAAGAUGACAUAUUAAACAUUUACAAUUGUUAAAGAGUAUGAUAUGCGUUGUAGACCCAAAUCUUAUAAACUUAAGCUUUUAGGAAAAUUGAUAGUUCAACAUAGUAUUAGAGCCUUAUUAGGUGAGAGGUUAUAUGUUCAAGCCUCACUGCAUGAUUCUUUCCCUAAUUUGUUACACCCACAAGUAAGCCCAAAAGCAGCUGAUUUUGAUUGUUUCCCUAAGGGCUUGUGUGUCUGUCCAUGUGCACAUAUGGGGCUACACAUGAGGGACAUGAUAUCAGAGCCUCAUUUUGUGUGGGUCUGUGGCCGCACAUGAGGGAUAUGAUAUUGGAGCCUUAUUUCAGGAGGUCAUGUGUUCAAGCCUCACCCCAUGUUUAUUUCCCAUAUUUAUUGAGCCCACAUGUAAGCCCAAAAAGGGCUGAUUGUGAUUAUUUGCCUAUGAACCUGUGUGUCUCUCCACUUGCUGGCUGCAUGUGAGGGAGGGUGUUAAAAAGUAUAAUAUAUAUUGUGGACCAAAAUCCUACAAGCUUAAGCUUUUAGAAAAAUUGGUUAUCCAACAACUAUGAAUAAUAACAAAGGAAGUUUCAUGUGUAGCACAUCUUUGAAGAAGGCAUGUGAUAUGAUUGACAUCUUCAUAGACUUUGUAUCUUAUAGCUUCAGCUAUAUAGCUUGCUUAAUUCCUUAUUUGUCAAAAUAUGAGGAACAACUUAGAAACCUAAAUACAGCUUGCUUAGUUUUAAUGGUCUAAUUAAAUUUUAAUGCCUAAAAUGGAAAUUUAAAUUCCUUAUUUCUCAAUUGAUACAUAUGUUUGUUUUUGAUAAAAAAAAAAAAACAUGGCAUAUUAAACAUAUACUAUUUUGUGUUGUGUAAACAAAUACUUUGAAACAGAUUUUUCUGCAAUGCCAAAAGGUAGGUUUCUCUCAGUACUCAUGAUUUUACUUGGUUUGUCACAGCUACAAGGUUGAUCAGAAAAACACAUUUGAGUGAAAUAGAUAGAUUUGUUGGAUUGCAAAAAAUGAAUGCUUGACAUUCUAGCUACUUGUUAUUAAAUUGUUUGUUAAUGCUUGGCAUUUUUUUUGUGGAAAUGGCAAUAGCUUGAAGGGAUAAUGAGCUUAGUUUCAUGAGUAGAAGAGAAAAUGAAUCCCGAGAGUGACCUUUACUGAAUUCACACUUCAGCUGAUAUCCUGAAAUUUGUUGACUAAUCCAAAAUGCAGGGUUUUGAUCUUUUUGAACUUUUUGAUUCAUUUGUUAAUUCUUUUUAUUGCAUCAUAUCAUUUGAAUCUAUCAAUUUUAGUUAAAGAGGAAAAAAAAAGGUAUAAGCAGAUUGACCAUUAUCAUUUCUUGACUUUAGUGGCUGGCAAUCUUAUCAAAACUAUUAGAAGUAUGCUUUAUUUCCCUUUUGCACCACAAAUCCUGAAUUGUUAACAUCUUUCUUUAGCACUUUUUUCCUGUAAUGGUUCGAUAAGAAAAGUAUUUGGUAAGAGUAUAUAUAAAAUUAUUUAUUGUCAAUGCUUUAACUUGUAUCGCUUUUUAGAUGCAUAUUUGGUAUCAAAAGGUUGUCUUUAUGAUCAUUCUUCAAAGUAACUAAGGCAUUUCGAUUUAUUGAUGAAGCUUUCAGCAAUUUGCGAGACAAUGUUCCAUUAUCAGGACAAAAUCCCAUCUAUUGAUUAUGUGGUUAAUGUUUCAUCAAAUAUGGAGGUAAUUCGAAUAAUUGCUUUUUUUUUCAUCUUGUUUCACUGAUUAACUUCAACUUCUGGUGAUUCUCUCUAUUAAUACUGGAGCCAAGAUGGCCAUCCAAAUUAUUUUAUAUAAGGAGUGUCAUUGGCUCUCUAGCACCAAUGAGGUCAGCAAAUAAUUUUAUUCUUAAGCCAGUCAUCAGUAAACAUCUCAAAAUAUGUCAACUUGGUAAAUAGGUAAGAAAGCGUCAAAGUACCACUAAACAACCCCACCUCAACGAAUUUUCAUAAAGUGUCAUUGGUAAAUUGGAAGUGAUGAUUGGUGGAACUCUUGGUCUAACUUAUAAAGAGCUCAUCCACCAAAUCUUUGUCUCACUCCCAUCAUAAGUCAACUUAAUGCUUUUCCCAAAAUAUAGUUCAAAUUAUGGAGACAAAAGAUCAUCAGCUUUGCCCAAUUCCUCUGAAUCUGGAGGAAAAUCCUUUUGCUAUUCCUAGAAUAGAAAAGCAACAGAGCAUAUACACCAUCUAUUUUAAUGUUGUCAAACUUCAAACUGUACCUCGUGAUAGUUGAAAACUUCCAAUUGAUGCUAUCCUAGUCUUUCCCCAUGUCCCUUUCUGCGUAAAUCAUGCAAAAUACCACUGAUUGGUCUAUCUGGUAAAAGAAAUACCAUACUGAGAAGGCUUUUAGUAAAACUUAAAUACUUGUGACUUAAAACGACUUAGUUAAAUUAUGUUUAAGUUAUUAAGUUAUUUUUAAUUUUAAGUUACCUUAUCAAACAUACUUAAUAUGCUUAGUAAGUUAAAUUAAGUGGUUAAGUCAUAUUAAGUCAAUAAGUUGAUUUAUUUAUUUGUUUUAAUAGGCCACAAUAAGUUGAUUUAUUAAACACUCUCUAAGCCCUAUACUAAAGAAUCUAUGUGGAUGAAGGCACAAUCAAGAAUCCCUUCUUGGAGAAAGGUGCUCUUAGAUUCUAAGAUUGAAAAAGGGUGGAAUCCCUUCAUGUCUCUCUGUUCUUAUGCUUAUAAGGACACCGCUUCCUUGUUACCUAUUGUUGAAUAUAAUGUAUUUAUAGUGUACAAUCUUUCCUUUUUAAGAUAGGUCACAUGUAUGGUAGUUAGUUCUCCUAGCCUUGUAUAUAUAUUUCUCAAUUGUAAGUAGUUAAUCAUAUGAAUGAGAAUCAAGGUUUUCUCUCUUUCUCUUUCUCUCUCUCUCUUUCAACAUGGUAUUAGAGCUAAGGGAGAAAACCUAAUUCUUUCCAGUUUCCCCGUGUCAUCGAUUUCGGGAAACCUUCCAGUGACCGUGUUUCAUUCCGGUCAUCUUCCCCAUCUCCUAAAACUUUCCGGUCAGUCGGAUCAUCAUCAGAAAACACUCACCGUCGGCAACUUUUUCGGCGAAUUUUUCCGACAACUUUCCGGCGACGUCUUUUUCCGACACCGACCAUACCGUAAGGAGCACCUGGAGGAGAUCUUCAACUUUUUCCAAAUCACUGUAACCAAAAACUCGGUCACACGCGGUUUUCCGGCCAGCGACUGAAUCUCACGCAUCGUCGCGUGAGGGCGCGUGAGGCACUUUCCGACGACGCGCUUCCUCCUCCAGCCUCGCCUGACGCCAACUAGCCACCCUUCAUCCCUGGUUUUGACAUCUAAGCCCUGCACGUACCUCUUUUGGGGUUCUUUUGCCUCCGCCGACCCUCCAAACAGUUUUUCCGGUGACCUCCAACUAUUUUUUCUCCACCCUAAUCCCUGUACAUGCCUUGGGAAGUGUUCUUCUACUUUUCUGGUGGUGCCAUGGUUGUUUUUCUUUACUAUUUGGUCUCUCACACCGGCAAUUCCUCGGUUUUUCCUUCUUCAACCGUGAUCUGAAACCGUAUUAAGGCUCUCUUUGAUCCAAAUAUACUUCAUUCUCCAGAUAAGUAGAUACGGCUACUAAAACUUCCAUUUUUUCCUCUGUUAUAUAUGGAUUUCCUAUGAUUACUUCGAAAAAAUUGGUUGGCAGUGAAAAUUAUCUUUCCUGGUCUGCCUCUGUUGGACUUUGGUUUAUGGGUCAAGGAUAUGAGGAUCACCUGGUUACACAGGAGGCAGAUAUCCCUGAGGUUGACCGCAUACAGUGGAGGAAGAUGGAUGCACAGUUAUGUAGUGUAUUAUGGCAAUCGGUUGAUCCCAAGAUUCUUCUUCAUCUUCGGGCCUACAAAACUUGUUUUAAAUUUUGGACUCAGGUUAAAGGAUUAUACACGAAUGAUAUCCAACGUCUUUGUGAGGUGGCUUCUGCUAUUGUCUAUAUCAACCAACAGGACUUGGAUCUAUCUACUUAUAUCUCUCUUAAGGAGGAGUUCUUGAUUGUGAGGCCUCUUACUGCUGAUAUUGGGGCUCAACAAAUACAACUUGACAAGUUCUUCAUGGUCCUUACUCUUAUUGGCCUCCGUCCGGAUCUUGAGCCUGUUCGCGAUUAGAUUCUUGGUAGUUCAUCAGUUCCGUCAUUGGAUGAUGUGUUUGCUCGCCUCCUCCGUAUUUCGUCCACUCAGACUUUGCCAUCUGAUAGCACUUCAGAUUCUUCUAUGUUAGUUUCUCAAACUACCUCUUGAGAAGGACGCAGUGGUAACAGAGGUAGAGGUCAAUGUCCUCAUUGCACCUAUUGCAAUAAACUUGGCCACACUCGCGAUCGUUGCUAUCAGUUACAUGGACGGCCUCCCCGCACUGCCCACGUGGCCCAGUCAUCUGAUUCUCAGCUGCCUUAACCUCCGAGCUCCUCCACAUCUCAGGCUUUUGUUGCCUCUGUUGCCCAGCCUGGUAAUACCUCUGCAUGCCUUACCCACACAUCUUCUCUUGGACCUUGGAUUCUAGAUUCUGGAGCUUCUGAUCACAUAUCUAGUAAUAAGGAUCUUUUCUCCUCUAUUACUACUACAUUUGCUUUACCUACUGUUACCUUAGCUAAUGGUUCUCAAACUGUGGCUAAAGGUAUUGGUUUGACCCUUCUUCUGCCUUUGCUACCUCUCACUUCUGUCCUUUAUACUCCUAAAUGUCCUUUUAAUCUUAUUUCCAUCAGCAAAAUCACUCGUACUCUUAAUUGCUCUAUUACUUUUUCUGAUAAAUUUGUGACCUUGCAGGACUGGAGUACGGGGAAGACGAUUGGCAUAGGACGUGAGUCUCAAGGCCUCUAUCACCUCACCUCGGAUUCAUCUCCUGCAGUUUGCAUUUCCACUGAUGCUCCUCUCCUCAUUCACAGUCGUCUGGGCCACCUUAGUCUCUCCAAGUUCCAGAAAAUGGUCUCUCGUUUUUCAACUUUGUCGUCUCUUGCGUGUGAGUCAUGUCAGCUUGGGAAACAUACUCGUGUCUCGUUCCCAAAGCGUUUGAAUAAUCGGGCAAAGUCUCCUUUUGAACUUGUCCACACUGAUGUUUGGGGUCUUUGUCGGACUGCGUCUACUUUAGGAUUUCAGUAUUUUGUCACUUUCAUUGAUGACUAUUCUCGAUGUACUUGAUUAUUUUUAAUGAAAAAUCGAGCUGAGUUAUUCUCUAUUUUCCAAAAAUUUUAUGCUGAAAUCCAGACCCAGUUCAAUAUUUCUAUUCGUGUGUUACGUAGUGACAAUGCCAGGGAAUAUUUUUCAGCCCCAUUUACUUCGUUUAUGUCUAAUCAUGGGAUUAUUCAUCAGUCUUCUUGUGCUCAUACUCCUCAACAAAAUGGGGUAGCUAAAUGCAAGAAUCGACAUCUUGUUGAGACAACUCGUACUAUCCUCCUCCAUAGUCAUGUUCCUUUUCGUUUUUGGGGGGACGCUGUUCUUACAGUUUGUUAUUUGAUUAAUCGUAUGCCCUCGUAUGUCUUACACGAUCAGAUUCCUCAGUCCCUUCUCUUCCCUGACCAACCACUUUAUUUCCUUCCUCCUCGUGUCUUUGGUUGUACUUGCUUUGUUCAUAUUCUCACUCCUGGACAGGACAAGCUUUCCGCCAAAGCCAUGAAGUGCCUCUUUUUGGGAUAUUCCAGACUUCAGAAGGGUUAUCGUUGUUAUUCCCUUGAGACUCAUCGAUACUUUAUCUCCGCUGAUGUCACCUUCUUUGAGGACUCACCAUUCUUUUCCACUACUUCUGAGUCUCUUCCUGUUUCUGAAGUCUUGCCUCUUCCCAUUGUCUCCCCACCUAAUGCUGUGCCUCCUCGACCACUUCAGGUUUAUCAACGUCGUCCUCGUGUCGCUGCUCCUCUCCCUUUUGUUGAGGCACCUGCUGACUCACUUCCUAUCCUUUCGACUUCUCCUUCCCUGGCUUUGCCUUCUCCUGAUGACUUACCCAUUGCUAUUCAGAAAGGUACUCGCUCUACUCGUAAUCCUCAUCCUAUUUACAAUUUUUUGAGUUACCAUCGAUUAUCUUCACCCUAUUAUGCUUUUGUUUCUGUUAUAUCCUCUGUUUCUCUUCCAAAGAGCACCCAUGAGGCUCUUUCCCAUCCAGGUUGGCAACAGGUAAUGGUGGAUGAAAUGACUGCUCUGCACUCUAAUGGCACUUGGGAUCUUGUUGUUUUACCCUCUGGUAAAUCUACAGUUGGCUGUCGUUGGGUCUACGUAGUUAAGGUUGGCCUUGAUGGUCAGGUUGAUCGCCUUAUGACCCGUUUAGUUGCUAAAGGCUAUACUCAGGUUUAUGGUUCUGAUUAUGGUGACACAUUCUCCCCUGUUGCCAAGAUUUCUUCUGUCCGUCUGCUUCUCUCCAUGACUGCUAUGUGUUCUUGGCCUCUUUAUUAAUUGGAUAUUAAAAAUGCCUUCCUUCAUGGUGAUCUUGCCAAAGAAGUUUAUAUGGAGCAACCUCCUGGUUUUGUUGCUCAGGGGGAGUCUGGUUUAGUGUGCAAGUUACGCCGUUCUCUAUAUGGCUUGAAACAAUCUCCUCGAGUAUGGUUUGACCGUUUUAGUUUUGUUGUUCAAGAGUUUGGUAUGCUUCGCAGUACAACAAACCAUUCAAUUUUCUAUUAUCAUAACUCCUUGGGGCAGUGUAUUUAUCUGGUUGUUUAUGUGGACGACAUCGUCAUUACAGGCAGUGAUCAGGAUGGUAUUCAGAAAUUAAAACAACAUCUUUGUACCCACUUUUAGACUAAAGACUUGGGAAAACUCAAGUAUUUCUUGAGAAUUGAGAUAACUCAAUCCAGUUUCGGUGUGGUCCUUUCCCAAAGGAAAUAUGCUUUAGACAUCCUGGAAGAAACCGGUAUGUUAGACUGUAAACUGGUAGACACACCUAUGGAUCUGAAUGUCAAACUUGUACUAGGACAGGGGGAGCCUUUAGGAGACCUUGGGAGAUAUCGACGGCUCGUAGGUAAAUUGAACUACCUCACCAUUACUCGUCUAGACAUUUCUUUUCCUGUGAGUGUUGUUAGUCAAUUCCUACAGUCACCAUGUGAUAGCCAUUGGGAUGCUGUAAUCUGCAUUCUUCGAUAUAUCAAAAGCACACCAGACCAAGGUGUGUUGUACAAGAAUAGAGGUCAUACUCAAGUUAUUGGUUACACAGAUUCAGAUUGGGUCGACUCACCCACAGAUAGAUGUUCCACUUCAGGGUACUGUGUUUUUAUUGGAGGUAAUCUAAUAUCUUGGAAGAGUAAAAAACAAGAUGUAGUGGCCAGAUCUAGCGCUGAAGCCAAGUAUCGAGCUAUGACUCUGGCAACAUGUGAACUCAUAUGGUUGAGACAUCUUCUUUGAGAGUUGAGAUUUGGAAAGGAUAAACAGAUGAAACUCAUCUGUGAUAACCAGGCCGCAUUACAUAUUGCAUCUAAUCCAGUCUUUCAUGAAAGGACCAAGCAUAUUGAAGUUGACUGUCACUUCAUUAGAGAUCGCAUUAGGAUGUGUUGCUACAAAUUUUGUUAAUUCAAAUGAUCAACUAGCAGACAUCUUCACUAAAUCUCUCAGAGGUCUUAGGAUUAAAUACAUUUGUAACAAGCUUGGUGCAUAUGACGUAUAUGCUCCAGCCUCCAGCUUGAGGGGGAGUGUUGAAUAUAAUGUAUUUAUAGUGUACAAUCUUUCCUUUUUAAGAUAGGUCACAUGUAUGGUAGUUAGUUCUCCUAGCCUUGUAUAUAUAUUUCUCAAUUGUAAGUAGUUAAUCAUAUGAAUGAGAAUCAAGGUUUUCUCUCUCUCUCUCUCUCUUUCAACACCUAUUAACAGUCUUGCAUGCUAAGAAAUGGAGGAUCUUUAAUACGAUAAUAAGCUUCCUUUUAUUGUCAUGGAUUGGAGUAAUGCAGUUUGAAAAUUUUAAUAUAAGUGGUGUCAUCUCUCUUGAAAGUUAUUUUGAAGGACAAGCAGAUUUCAUAAUAAUUAUGGAAUGCUCUAAUAUGGCCUCCAAAUUUAAAGAAUAGGAUUUGGGGAAUUAGUUUCACGGGCUUAGCUUGUGGGGGUUUUACUGGUUUGAGGAGUCUGCCCCUUAGUAUUUUGGAUUUUGUCUGAUACCACUUUCAGUGGUCUUUAUGUUUAUUUGGCCAAUUAACCAGGAAUGACAAAUUUGAAAUUGUUUUAAAUUUCUCAGAGACAUUCUCUGUAUAAUCUUUCUGAAACUGUUUACUUUUUUUAGAUUUCUCAAAAAUUUUAACCUCAAGUUUCCCUUUUAAUGAUAUCUGAAUUUCUCUGCUAGUAAAUGAGGAAAUUGGAGCUAAUUGUCAUUACUUCUUUGAUACUGUGAACUUGUUGAGAAUAAAAUGUUAAUAAUUCUUUGCCACUCAAAUAUUUUCAGUUAUAUCCCCCAAAAGAUUGGCUGGUGGGGUCAUCAUUGCCUUCUAAGUUCAGUCCAGAUGUUAUUCAGAAGGUACUAGAUGAGCUUGCUCCAAAUAACGUCAGGUAAAUCUUUUAGUGAGCCUAUUGUUUUUCUUUACUUUCCUUUUUUCUUUUCUCUUUUCCUUUUGUUGUGCCUUGUAUAGAUAGCCCCAGUACAUAGGUUGCACCCUCCCUGUUAACUGGCAUCUUUUUAAUGUAUAUCUAGUUUGCCUAUAAAUAAAAGAGAAACUAUGAAUUAUUGCAUCUGAAGAUUAAAGACAUCUGCAUGUGGCAUUAGGGUUUUUGUAUGGUGCUCAAAGCAGCCAUUUUGAAUGUAAAGACAUCCACAUGCAUUCUUAAAUCAAUACAAUGUGCUGAAACAUUUGUCUCAAAUUUGUAUUAUAUCAUCACUGAUUUAUUGUUUUUUUUUCAUGUAAGUAAUAAGGUUUUGUUGAUACAAGAAGAAAGGCUUACUGAAGGAGGGCAGGAUAUUCUUCAGUGUAGGGUGUUGUGGGAGGUGGUGUGCUCAGGGUUUGUUUAUGGGGUUGUGGUGUUGGAGUUUGGACAUAGUGGUCACCCUCCAAGCUUGAAGCACAUCCAACUAGACCAAAAAAAAAAAGAUCCUCUUUAUAAUCACAAAAUAAUCAAGAAACUUUAAAAUGAUGGCUUUUUAAUUUCCUCCCCCUAUGUAGGUGGGAGGCUGGAUGCUCAGGGCUUGUUUUUUGGGGUGGUGGUGUUGGGGUUUGGACAUAACAGUUACCCUUAAGGACUUCAAGGUUGAAUCUGGUCCAUUUAGACAAAAAUAGUCCACUUCAUAAUCACAAAAUUAUAAAAGAUUUUGAACAUGUUCGUUGAUUUGCCAACCUCCCCUCUAUAUGGUUUAUUGUUGUAUUCCUUGAAUUAGGUAGUAUCUUUGAUUUGUUUGUCAAUCUUAAUCCAUUGUCACAGCAGUUUUAAUUGAUUAUUGUGGAAUCGUAGUUCGUGACAAAGUUCCUUGUUUUUUAUGGAUCUCUAGUCACUGAUUUAAUUUUGUAUGAGCUUAUAAAAAAAAAAUGCAGUAAAAAUGUACUGAAAUAUUAAUUAUGUGUCAGAAACUCACUUUCCUAUGAUGCACUAAGUUCCCCCCCUCCCCCCCUCUUUUAAUAGAGAUCCUGUAAUGCAUUAAGUUUUUCCUCAGUAUAAAAAUUUUUUACACGUCUUUUUAAAAUUUGGAUUCUUUUUAAUAGCAUUGGCUGAAAAUAUUGAAUACCCUGAUUAUGAUGGUUUACCUUUCAUUUUUACUGCUAAGCUUCUCUGAGGUGUUAAUUAUAUCUGUAUCUGUUCUAUCUUAACAUUUUAGCACAGUAUAUAUUAAGAUUUAAUCUUCUCUGAGGAUUCUGUUUGAAGGCUUCAGAAAAUCAAGUUGCUGCGUUCAUAGUCCAUUCUUUUUGUCUUUUCUAUGGUUGCAUUAAGAUAAGCUCGUUUUAUCAUAUGGUAAAUGAAAAGACAGAAUCCACUCAUCUAUAACUAUUUAGAGAAGUGUCAAGCAGUGAAGAUUGGCAGAGAAAUCUGAUUGCAUUCACUCUAAAAGAAUAGCUAAUGUAAUAUGGAAACUUGUGCACUGCAAUAAAAAUGUUGCACAGCUAUGUAAUUCAUAUUUUACUUUGAAUUGGGCAUGUAUUUUAUCUCAUUGAUGGACUUGUAUUCUUGCUCCCAAUUAUAGAAAUAGUCACUACAUCAAUGUAAAUUUUUAUCAGUUUGUUUUAGCACUUUAAGGUUCCAGAACUGAUUGGCCACUUUCCUACAAGCUAUCAUUAAUUAAAAGCAAAAAUUGUUUUAACUAAAAGGGUGAGAUCAGUAAGCAUAACCAUUACUUGCUGAGUGCUGUGUUCAAGAUUCAUUCCUUCUGGUUAUUGCCCUGUAGUCUUCUUCAUGCAUAUUCAGCUGCCUACUGAAUCUAUGAAAUGAGAUAAUGACAUGCUUGAGUCAUGGUAGUUUUCAUGAUAAACCCUCUGGUCAACAGAAUCUUUUGGGAGUCAAAGAAUUUUGAAGGCCACACUGACAUGGUUGAGCCAUGGUAUGGAACUGCAUUUUCUAUUGAGAAGAUCACUGUUUCCAUGAUUCAGGUUUGCUGUUAUGUUCUUUGUAAUAUACUUCAUAAUAUGUAGUGAUUUACAACUUGGAACCUAAUGUCAUACAGUUUUAUGACAUUCUGUUCCCUGCCAUAUUCCUCUUUCUGCUAAAAGAAUUAAUUGGGAAAAAAAUGUUGAUAAGCUAAACUUUCUGUAUUUGUUUGCAGCAAUGGAUGCUAGCAGCCCCUACUGAGCAUCUGCAUCUACCAGAUCCCAAUGAUUUUAUCCCUACUGAUUUGUCACUUAAGAAUGUGCAAGAGAAGGUAUGGUAGAUAUGAUAAGCUAACCUAAUGUGAUUAUCUUUUUCCAAAAGGUUUACACUUUGGUGUGGCUGUUCUGGAACAGGCUAAAUUUCCAGUUCUCUUAAGAAAGUCAUCAUAUUCAACCUUAUGGUAUAAGCCCGAUACAAUGUUCUCCACUCCAAAGGCAUAUGUGAAGAUAGAUUUCAACUGCCCCUUUGCUAGUAGCUCCCCUGAAGCAGACGUCCUAACUGAUAUCUUUACACGGUUGUUAAUGGAUUACCUGAAUGAAGAUGGUAGGCUGUACAGAAUGAGUGGAAAGUUGCCCUUCUCUUUUAUGAAAAUUGUACAUUAGUUUUUAUUUGUCUGAGGGACAGUACAACAUUGAAAUGUUUUUGCGUUAUAUAAUUUAUGGUUUAUCGAUGUUUAUAUUGAUCUUUUCUCCCUAUAAUUCCUGCUGUAUUUAUUUGAAUUUAUUUACAUCAGAUUGGUGAAGUUAUUUUCUUGAAAAAGAGCUUACUAUAUUCCAUUUUAUUUUUUAUCUAUCUUUCAGCUUACUAUGCUGAAGUUGCCGGUCUUUAUUAUUGCUUAAGCAACACAGAUAGUGGUUUUCAGGUAAGUUAUCUUUUUUACUAUUUUAAUUUUUACAAAUUAUGUUUUAUUUUGUUUUACAUUCAUCCGACUUUCAAAAUUAAUAGUCAAUUCACAUGUUCAAGCUGAUUUGGUUUUGGUAAUGGUGAUUGGUGAGUUUGGGAUGGUGAAAUGAGCCCAAACCUAUCCUGAACGACUCCAACCCAUUUCCUUACCCACACUCCAAAUCUAAUUCUAUGCAUCCUUCAGAGUGGGUUCGCCAAUUAAAAUUCUAUGUGAUAUUCAUUAUGGUCACAUGCAAAUUCUUGAUUUAAAACUUAUUAGAGGAAAAGCUUUAAACCAAGGGAAGAUUUCCAGUUCUGAAUUCUACACAAAUUUUGUUGGGGCUUCCAUUGCAAAUCUGAUUAUGGUAAAUCUCAAAAUCGCCCCUGUAAAGGUGGGGUGGGCCAGGUUACACAGUGAAUAAUCCCGAUUCCAACCUUGUGUGCACUGACCUUCAACCUUUGUGGAUAAAUCUUGCAUCCUGUUGAUAUUUCUCCUUGAACUAACCUUGCUGGAAUUAGUCUCUAGCGGCAUUUUUAAUUCAAGGAAGUUUGUUUGCACAGCUUCACUAAAAGUUUACUUCCAGAGUCUUGGUAUCUUUCCUAGAAGACAUUCUAAAAGGCUUUGCUGAAUUUUAUUGAACUCAAUUGCCAAAAAAUGCAGAUGCUGUUGUUAGGAAAGGGUAUCUUAAUUCAAAAGGACUUUUGGAUGAUUGAUAUGGUGACAAAAUAUAAUAUCAUUAUGAUUGUGCUGUAUCCUGUCAUUGUAGACUGGAUUGCGUUUGCACUGAUCCUUGCUUACUUGUCAAAAUAAAAGUUCAGAAGAUUUUAAACAUGUCCUAUCCUGAUUUGUGGAAUAAAAUACUGCACUGCAGCCCCAUGAUAGUUUAGUGUAACUCCAAAUUUUUUCUAAUUGUUUAAAUAUUUCAAUUACUUCAAGUUUCCAUUGCCUUUAUUCAUGAAAUUCAUAUUUAUCAAAGAUGGUCAUAGUGAAGAGAAGAUGGGCAUGUUUGGUUGCUGUUUUUGAAAACUGUUCUGGAAAACAAUUUUUGAGAACAGUUUUUAAGAACAGUUUUUGGUGUUUUUUAAAAAAAAAUUGUGUUUGGGAACUGAAUUUUGAAAAACAGUUUUUGUUCUCAAAAACAAAAAAACAUGUUUGGUUGAGUUAAUAAAUAAAAAAAUUUAGAACAAAUAAAACAAAAAACAUGUUUGAAAGAUUUUUUUUUUCUUUUCUAAUUAAUAAAAUAUUUUCUUCAAGUAAUUUUAUAUUAUAAAUUUAUAAAUAAUUUUUAGAUAUAUAGUUCAUUUAAAUUAAAAAAUUUAUUUAUUUUAUUAAUUUAAAAAUAAAAAUAUUUUUUAUAUUUUUUUAAAAUAAAUCAAACAUAAUAAAAUUAUUUUUAUUAAUAUUUUUUUAUUUAAUCUUUAACUUUAUUAAAAAUUAUAGAAAAUCCAAGCAAAAACCCUGCAACCCCUGUUUGAUUCCCAAGAAAAUCCAUCCCCCAUUCGAUUUCCGGGAAAAUUCAUCCUCGUUUGAUUUCCGAGAAAAUCCAAGCAAAAACCCUGCAACCCCCGUUUGAUUCCCAAGAAAACCCAUCCCCCAUUCGAUUUCCGGGAAAAUUCAUCCUCGUUUGAUUUCCGAGAAAAUCCAAGCAAAAACCCCAAGGAAAACCAAAAAUCCCUGCGUUUUCUGGAUCCGUUUUAGGGGUCUCUUUGCUAUUGUGCGAUUGGAUUUAAAUUUCACGAACCUUGAAUCAAAACUGAGAAACAAGAAGAGGCGAGCCACUGUGCUGGAGAAGAGAUGAAAACGGGAAGAAAAAAAAAACACGGGAAACAGAUUGUUUUUUUUGGUUUAAUUUUGUUCUGUGAACAGUAAAAAAACGGGGAAAACAAGAUUUUGUUGUUCUCUAAACAGUGUCAUUUUGAGAACACGGGAAACAACAAAAACAAAAAUCACUCUCUCAACCAAACGAGUUUUUGGUGUUUUUUGUUUUCAAGAACAGAAAACAGUUCUUGAAAACACUAAACAAACAGGCCCGAUACCUCCUUUUAGGAAAAUAAGAAGCAUAACAGGGAACUUGAAAAAGAAAAUUGAGAAAUUACCAAAGAAACUUCGUCUAGUUUCAAAUAUUUGUAUUGCUUCAAAUAUUGCCUUAUAUAGAAUUAUAUCUUGGUAGGUCUUUUCUUUUCCCUUGAGUGCCUUGUGAAUCAUCCUAAAGGACCUUCUAUAUUUCUAAUUUGCAAUGCCUUUAAAAAAUGAUAUAUGGAAGAAUUGUCACUCAAUUGUUUUCUAUAUUCAAUUAUCAGAUGUGCUACUUUCUCUCUUUCUCUCAUUCAUCCACAGACACUCUUACAUGCACACGCUAAGAUCCAUCAAUUCUUAUAUGCAUUGAUAUUUUAAAUUCUGUUUUUCUUUUUUAGGUGGCUAUGGCUGGGUAUAAUCACAAAUUGAGGAUCUUACUUGAAACAGUUGUUAAAAAAAUCGCAAACUUUAAAGUGAAGCCUGAUAGAUUUCUUGUGAUCAAGGUAAUGAUCAACACCUCUUAUGCCACUGGAAAGGUCACAACUUAUGUAUUUUCAUUUUUCUGAUGGUUCUUCUCAGAUACCAUUUUUUUUCCCCAAGUGAAUCACACCAACAGCAUUAGGACUGUAAUUGAUAUAUCAUUUAUACAUUUUUGCGGUGAUUUGCUGUGUUUUAUUGUUCCAGAGGCUUUGUUACAUUUUUACAGUGAUUUGCUGUGUUUUACUGUUCCAGAGGCUUUGUUACAUUUUUACAGUGAUUUCCUCCUCUCCUCUGUAUAUCCCUUCUAAGCCACACAUACAUAUACACCUCCAAUGCAUUGGCCUCCCUAUUUAGUAAAUGAUUAUAAUUAAUCCUAUCAAAAGCAGUUGUGUGUAAUUCUUUGUCCAUCUAGAUGGCAAUGGUUUUUCCUCCUUUCUUUCUUUUUCUUAUAAUUAUAGUCUUGUUGAUACACAACCCAGACUGAACAAUUGGCACCUUUACUGCUAGGCAAGAUGGAUGCUUGUUAUAUAAAUGUACCUUAUACCCAAACACAUCCAAAAACUCUUAUUGAGCAUAAGAAAAAACUUUUGGCUUUUCAAAAGCCACAAUAGAAACGAGGCCUUGAUUAAUUUACUAUAAUUUUUUCUUGAUAUUGAUCAUUCCCUAAUUAUUAUUUUUUAAAUUUGAAGUCGAAAUUUUUUGUACCUUUAAUGCAUUAAAAUAACUCAUUGAGUUUUUGUCUCUUUUUCAUCAGUCAUAGGUGCAAGAGAAACAAAAUGAUCACUAAUAUUAUGUAUUACAAUUUCCAAUGAUGUAAUCCUGCUAACCAUGAACUUCAAGGCUUACCUUCCAGAUAGGUGUAUUUUGCAAUUCAAGUUAUUGAUGACCAAAAUUUGGGUUUGUGAGACAGACCUAUCUUCUUGGCUUCCCAUCUUAGAAUGAGAGGCAAUGAGAUAUUCUAGCUUUAAACUAAUUGAACUGACGCUUAAUGAAACUUAUCUGCACUUAGAUAUUGCCUCAUGAAUAUCAAGUGAGACUGACAUUGGCUCUAUAUUGAAGUACAAUGAUAUCCAGGGAUUCUCCUCUCAUCCCCACAAAUUUGGCGUAAAUUCUUCCUCUGUCUUAUCUUAGGCAUUUGAAAAGUCAACAGGCAUGUGGAGAUGACAUGCUGAAUGAAUGAGACACCAUUUUUAUUUUCUUCUGAUUUUCUUUCUUCUGUUUUGUACAAACCACCAUCAUAGAAAUCCUGGCUUAGAAUGGUUGCAUACCUGAAGAGCCAGAGGUAGCCGGUUGUCAUCUUCAAUCAACAAAUUCCUGCAUUAAUUAUUAUUAUUAAAAAGACAAAGGUGACAGAUUGACAUGUCCCCUUAUGGAUGAUAUUUCUUUUCGGAAUUCUAGGAAAAGUUUUACCUGUAAAUCCAUAUCUCAUGAAGGUUAGCUUCCAAGGCUAGGUCUAAAUUAUGCACUCAUAUAUGCUUGUACCUUUUUGGGGGACUGUACUUUAUUUCAUUAUUGAUGCUUGUGGUUUUCUUUUCAUAAAAAAAUAAUAUUUUGAAAUACCAUAAAAUAUCUCAGGAGCUGUCUUUUUGAAAACAUGGUAAUUAUUGUUCUAUGCAUUUUUUUAUUAACAGGAACUGGUAACAAAGGGGUAUCAAAACGUGAAGUUUCAACAGCCAUAUCAGCAAGCUAUGUGCUAUCGCUCACUAAUUCUACAUGAUAACACAUGGCCCUGGAUGGAUGGACUUGAAGUUAUUCCUCAUCUUGAAGCUGAUGAUCUUGCUAAAUUUGUUCCCAUGUUGCUCUCAAGGGCAUUCUUGGAGUGUUACAUAGCAGGUUCUUCUAUUUCAGCGAUUUUUUUUAUUAUUGUUUUUAGAAGUCUGACAUUUUACCUUGAUUUUAUCAUCAACUAGCAAUUUCAUUUUUCAGGAAACAUUGAACCAAAAGAAGCAGAGGCAAUGAUCCAUCACAUUGAAGAUAUUUUCUACAGUGGUCCACGCCCUAUAUGCCAACCUCUAUUCCCAUCUCAGUAUUUGACAAAUCGAGUUAUUAAACUUGAUAGGGGCAUGAGUUACUUCUAUCCUGCUGAAGGCCUAAAUCCAAGUGAUGAGAAUUCUGCCUUAGUUCACUAUAUCCAGGUAAUUGCAUUAGUAAAGGAGGAAUGGUUCAUUACUUUUGGGCUACUUAGUUAUCUAUGCUGGACUCUUAUUUAACGUUUUGGAAUUCAAGAAAAGAUGAUAAUGACACUGUCUCACAUUAGUUAACUGAACUAUAACUUUAUUCUCUUGUGAUUUAUUCUAAUAUAUAUAUAUAUAAUCUAAAAGCAUCUCAUAAAAGAGAAAUGGAAAGUGAGAGGUCUUUUGCUGCCAUUUCAUCCCAAUAAAAUUUCAGAUCCUUGCUAAUUAUUUCUGGGAAAAUUAGUAGUAGCUAGAAGUUUGUGUGUUUCUUUGUCUUUAUCUGGUCCUUGCUCUUGCUAAGCUUGAGUUUUGAGGCAUUGAAUUGACAGAUUCUUGUUGUGGGUAAGAAAUUACUUCCGAAGAGUUUUUUGAUAGAUAUAGAAAAUGUGUUAUAGAUAAAAGUGGGUAAGACCCAAAAAAGGACGCAUGAAGACACAAAAACCAGCAAAUGCACCCUACAAAGAGCUUAACCAAUCCACAAAUUCCAACACCGACAAAGAGCCAUCCCCAAAUACAAUUUAACCCAAUCCCAAAAAAGGUUCAAGAAAUAAUUUUUAAUUGUUUGGUCUAAACUUUCGCAAUUUUCAAAGGCUCUCUAUUUCUUUCCCUCCACAUGGUCCAAAAAAACUCAUAACGGAGCAACCUUCUAAGCAUUUUUUUCUUUUUUUCCUUACAAAAGAAUCGUACCAGCUUAAGAGAAAUGCCCUAAUUGAAGAGUGCAUCACUCAUUGUACACCGAACAAAAUAAAAACCAACUGCCACAAAUUAUGGGAUUUUGUGCAAUGAAGGAGAACACAAUUACCCGUUUCUUCAUAUUCUUUGCACAUGUGACACCUAUUAGGGAUCCUCCAACUCCUCCUACUGAGCUAAUCUAGAGUCAAAAUCCUAGCCGAUGUGGCUUCCCAAGUAAAGAAGCUAAUUCUAACGGGGACCUAAGAAUUCGAAAUUAUAUCAUGAGGGAAAGACUCAACUCUCCUACUAGCCAAAGAAGAAUAGAAAGAUUUAAUUGAGAAAUUAUCAUUCUUUGGCCCCAACCACACCAUAGUAUCCUUAGAGGCCAACCUAAUGGAGUGGUCAUACAAUCUCCCAAAAAAUACAUCAACCUCCUCUAAUUCUUGUCAUGGAAUUGUCUAACAAACCUAGGGUCCUAGUUACCACCAUCCCAGACAUCAACCACCUAAGCAUAUUUUGCGGAGGUUAUAUAAUAAAGAGUUGGAAAUGAUUCCCUCAAAGGUGUGUCUCCACACCACUUGUCUAUCACGAACUUCACUCUAUUACCGAAUUUAACCUCGAGGACCUUAAUUGCAUUUUAGGUUUAACUUUAGUUGCACUCCGUCCUAACUUGCUUAGUUGCAUUUUGGGAAAUUUCUUAGUUACAUCUUAGUUCAUUACAUUUAAGUAUGCUUUAAGAUAGUUCAUCUAGAGGCAUUUUUGCUCAUUACAUUUAAAUAUAUUUUUAGUUAGUUCAUCUAGGUGCAUUUUAAAAUGGUUUAUUUAGAUGUAUUUGAGGAAUUUUUUUAGGUGUACUUUAGAAUAUUAUUUCAUAUCACUUUACAUGGCAUGUACAUUAGGGCUUGUUUGAGAAAACAAAGAAGACAUUAAGACAUGGAGAUUUUGGAUAUUGGGCAAGAGUUUUGUUUUUUUGGUAAGAAAGAGUAGAUUUUUUUAGAGAAGAGGACUCUCUUUGGAAGACAUUCACGACAUAUUGAUUUUUGAAGGAGGAAAGACUCUUAAGGUCACACACGGCUGCCACAUUUUCAAGGGAUAUAUGGAUUGAGAUUUUUUGGGAGAUUUAGAGAGAUUGAGAAAGAGUAGGAGAGCUUUCUCGUCAUAUGCUGAACAAGCUUCAAUAUUUUGAGCGUAAUUUUCGCUACAAAUAUCAAAAUAAGUUGAUUAUUGAAGCUAUGGAAAACUAAUAGAAAGAGCUACACACCAACUGUUGACAAUUUUUCCUAAAUCAAUCUUGUUCAGGUACAAGAUUCGCCUAAAGGAAAGGAUUGUGUCAUUGGGGGAGGAGAGCAUGGUUGCCACAAAAUUGAGAAAAAAGGUGGAGUCUUGGGAAAAAAGCUAAAGUCCUUAGAGGAAAAGUUGAAGUCUUGAAGAUCAAGAAGGCAAGACACGACGUAGAGAAAUAAGAAAGGAGUAAACUUGCAUUUUUUAAGGGGAGAUGUAUGUUCUUUAAUUUUCUUGUAUAUCUUGAUCAUGAUUAACUUUCCAUCUAUUUCUUUUUCUUCCAUCUUGCUUAGGUAUAGAAAUUCUCUUUAUUUGAGGUGGAUAAUGAAGGUCACUUUAAUUGUUGAUGAUAUAUUGAUGAAAAGUUGAUGAAUGAUUGAUUGAUCUCAUGUUGACUAACGUCUAUUAGAAUUGGAGUUAUGAUUGUUUUCUUUGGAGUUAUUCUAACUUGAUUGAGACCCUUUGAUCAUACAUAAUAUGUGGUUAAGAGAUUCCUUAUUUGUUUUUUUAUUGUCUUUGGUCUCAUUUUUUGUUGUUGGUUUUUAUUUGUGAUGUUUAGAUUGUUUACCUGCAUGUCACCUAAUCAUCUUCAUGCCAUACACUUUUCUAGGUUGUUUGUAUUUGAUAUUUUAUGUGUUUUAGUGUCUUUAAUAUUUUUUUUUUCUUUCUCAAACCUUUCCCAAAUAGAUCAAUCCUUUAACUUUUCUUAAAAAUUCAUCUUAAGUCAUUAGGGUAUAAAAAAAACAAUUAUCUUUUUUAAAGACAUGCAAUCAAUUUCAAUUAGUGUGCAUUUUUUCAUUGAUUUUCAAAUAAAUUUCGAUUUUGUGACACAUGAAUCCAAGUUCAUAGUAGGCUCAUCAAGGCAAAGAAUCAUUUUAUUUUUGUUUGGAACCAUGAACUUGGAUUCAUGUGUCACAAAAUCAAAAUUCAUUUGAAAGUCAAUGAACAAAUCCAUACUAAUUGAAAUUGAUUAUACGUCUUUUAAAAAAUAUGAUUCUUUUUUUUUUUAAACCCUAAUGACCUAAGAUGAUUUUUUAAGAAAAGUUGGAAGAUUAAUCUAUUUGGAAAAAGGUUUGAAAAAGUCAUUCUAAAGGUACUAAAACAUAUAAAAUAUCAAACACAAACAACCCCAGGGAACUGUAGGGUAUGAAGAUGAUUAAGUGGCAUACAGGUAAACAAUAUAAACAUCACAGACAAAAAACCAAAGCACAGACAAAAAACAGUAGUAGGAUUAUUAAUCAAAUCACCAAUGCCUCCUUCAUAGUUCUUUUGCCUAAGAAAAGCCAGACAAAGAAGAUCUCAGAUUUUAGACCUGCUAGCUUGAUCACUUGUCUCUAUAAGAUAAUAACCAAAAUCCUAUCAGGGUAAUUAAGAGGAGUACUACACAAAACUAUCCAUUAUACUCAAGGUGCUUUUGCUCAAGGGAGACAAAUUUUGGACGCAGUUCUUAUAGCUAAUGAGAUAGUGGAUGAGAAAAGGCGAUCAAGGGAGGAAGGAGUUGUCUUCAAAAUUGAUUUUGAAAAGGUUUAUGACCACGUGAAUUGGGAUUUUUUGGAUCACAUGUUGGAGAAGAAGGAAUUUAGUCCUAAAUGGAGGAAUUGGAUGAGAGGUUGUCUGCCUUUGGUCUCUUAUGCUAUUCUAGUGAAUGGAAAUGCUAAAGGGUGGGUCAAGGCAUCUAGAGGAUUAAGGCAAGGUGACCCUUCAUCCCCUUUUCUGUUUACUAUUGUCGUAGAUGUGUUGAGUAGGAUGAUGUUGAGAGCUGAAGAAAGAAGUUUGUUAGAGGGUUUCAGAGUAGGUAGGAAUAGAACAAGGGUGUCCCAUCUGCAAUUUGCAGACGAUACCAUCUUCUUUUCUAACUCUUGUGCGGAAGAACUACAAACUCUCAAGGGUUUAUUGUUGGUGUUUGGGCAAAUUUCUGGGCUUAAGGUCAAUCUUGUGGAUUAUGGGAGGGAAUCCAAUCACUUGUGGAUUAUGGGAUCCAGUGAUUGAGAGAAUCUCGAGGAGAUUAGACGGGUGGCAAAAGGCUUACUUAUCUUUCGGUGGUAGGAUAACUCUUAUCCACUCAUGCCUUUCCCACAUUCCUAGUUACUUUCUCUCCCUGUUUAAGAUUCCCGCUCUAGUGGUUGUAAAAAUUGAGAGAUUGCAAAGGGACUUCCUUUGGUCAAGGGUUGGGGAAGGUAAAAGAGAUCAUCUUGUUAGUUGGGAUGUAGUGUGUAAGCCGAGAGUAAAAAGGGGAUUGGGGAUUGGGGUUUGGGAAGAUUUCUUUAAGGAAUCUCGCUCUUUUAGGGAAGUGCUUGUGGAGGUAUCCUAGGGAGAGUACAACUAUGUGGCAUCGGGUCAUUCUAAGCAUUUAUGGGACACAUUCCAAUGGUUGGGAUGCCAACACUUUAGUCAGAUGGUCACAUCGUUGUCCUUGGAAGGCUAUUGCACAAGUCUAUCAGGAUUUUUCCAAGUAUACUUGGUUUGUGGUAGGAGAUGGGGAAAGAAUUUGCUCUUGAGAAGAUUUGUGGUGGGGGGACCAGCCUUUGAGAUCCCAAUAUCCAAGACUAUUAAGAGUAGUCACGGAUAAAAAUAUUUCUAUAUCUUCAAUUCUCGGUUUUGCUCGCCCUUUCUCUUGAAACUUUAAUUUUCGUCGUAAUCUUUCCGAUUCUGAGAUAGAAGAUCUAGAAUGUCUCAUGCGAUCUCUUGAUCGUAUGCAUUUAUCCAUUUCGGCUUCAGAUGCAAGAUCCUGGUCUUUAUCUUCGUCAGAAUUGUUUACAGUCAAGUCUUUCUUUUUAGCUUUGUCCCAAAUACUCGAUUUUUCUCCACGUUUCCCUACUAAGUUUGUAUGGAAUUCUCAAGUCCCUUUUAAAGUCAAGUCCUUUGUCUGGUUAGUGGCACACAAGAAGGUAAAUACUAAUGACUUGCUACAAUUGAGAAACCAUACAAAGCUCUUAGUCCUGACAUAUGUAAGUUGUGUAUGAGACAAGGAGAAUCAGCAGAUCAUCUUUUCAUACAUUGUUCUUUGAUGAUGGGGUUGUGGCAUAGAUUAUUUCAGUUAGCCAAGAUGGAUUGGGUUCCUCUGAGAAGCAUUUCCGACAUGAUGUCCAUCAAUUAUAAAUGUUUUGGCAUUUCCAAGAGAGGGAUAGUUUGUGGUAAAAUGCGUGCAUUGCUUUAAUUUGGGUUGUGUGGCGGGAAAGAAAUUUUAGGAUAUUUGAGGACAAAGCUAGGAACUUAGAGAAUCUAUGAGAUUCCAUUCACUUCCUUGCUUCUCUUUGGGCUUUUUGUUCUGUGGUUUUUAAGGGCAUUCCCCUUAACGUGUUACAACUAGAUUGGCUAGUAGUGUGUAGUUCUAGCGGGAUGGUCUAGCCAAGAGAGCUUGUUCGUAGUUUUCAUAGUAGUUUCAUGUUUUUUUAUUGUGUUGUUUAGUUUUAUCUUUGGUGGGAGGAUUCCUCAUCCUUCUUUUGUACUUCUUUUUUCUUUCAAUAUAUAUACUUGUUGUUUCCUAUCAAAAAAUAAAAAACCAACAACCAAAAAAUAAGACCAAAGACAAUAAUAAUUAAAUAGAGAAUCCCUUGGCCUGCUAUCAUGCAUAAUCAAAGGGUCUCAAUCAAGUGAGAAUAAUUCCAAAGAAAACAAUCCUAACCCUAAUUCUAAUCGGCAUUAAUUAAUAAGAGAUCACUCAACCAUUCAUCAAUAUGUCAUCAACAAUCAAAGUGGUCUUCAUUACCCCAAACAAAGAAAAAUCCUAUACCUAAGCAAGAUGGAAGAAAAAGAAACAGGUGGAGAGAUAAUCAUGAUCAAGAUAUGCAAGAAAAUUGAAGAACAUACCUCUCUUCUUGGAAAAAUGUAAGUUUACUCCUUUCUUGUUUCUCUAAUGACCUAAGAUAGCAACUUUUCUUCCCAAGAUGAUUUCUUUUUUCCUUCAAGAUCAAUUGGUGACAACCCUAAUCCCUCUCUCAAUGGCUAAACCGUGGAUGUCUAUUUCUUCCUCAAAAAAAGCUCUCAAAACUUCACCUUUUCUCAUCCAAAAAAUAGUGGCAGCUAUAUACCCUCUCUAAUAAUGUGAAUAUCUCUUGAUUUCUCUUAGAAAAAACAAACCAAAGUCGUCCUCAUCUGCUAUGGCAAGUGCUAGCCAUGUCUCUCUUCAACAUGUCGUGAUCCUCUCUUGAGACUAAUCCUAUACCUAAACUUUGCCACAAAAUUUUCUCUGUGAUAACAAUUGAUUUUGGAAAAGUUGUCAGAAAUGAAGUGAUAUGAAAUAUUAUCCUAAAGUGCACCUAAAAAAUUUCCUAAAAGGCAUUUAGAUAAACUAUCCUAAAAUGUACUUAAAUGACCUAACUUAAAGUAUACUUAUAUGUAAUGAACUAAAAUGUCUCUAGAUGAACUAUUUUAAAGUGUGCUUAAAUGUAAUGGACUAAGAUGUAACUAAGAAAUUUCCUAAAAUGCAACUAAGUGAGCUAAACCUAAAAUGCAACUAAAUAAACUAAGCUAAAGUGUAAUUAAGUGAGCUGAAUCUAAGGUAUCAUUAAGUGAGCUAAGUUAAAGUGCAACUAAAGGAAACUAAACCUAAAAAAUGGAUCUAAGUGAAUUAAGUUAAGGUGUCACUAAGUGAGCUAAGAUAAAGUACAACUAAAUGAGUUGAACCUAAAGUGCAACUAAAUGAGUCGAACCUAAAGUGCAACUAAAUGAGCUAAGCUAAGGUGUUACUAAGUGAGCUGAGUUAAGGUACAACUAAGUGAAUUAAACCCAAAAAUGUGUGAGCUAAAUUAGAGUGUCACUAUGUGAGCUAAGGUAAAGUGCAAUUAAAUGAGCUAAACCUAAAAUGCAACUAAAUAAAUUAAGCUAAAAAUGCAACUAGUGCAACUAAAGGAACUAAACCUAACAAAUGCAUCUAAGUGAAUUAAGUUAAGGUGUCACUAAGUGAGCUAAGCUAGAGUACAGCUAAAUAAGCUGAGUUAAGGUACAACUAAGUGAAUUAAACCCAAAAAUGUGUGAGCUAAAUUAGAGUGUCACCAUGUGAGCUAAGGCAAAGUGCAAUUAAAUGAGCUAAACCUAAAAUGCAACUAAAUGAACUAAGCUAAAAAUGCAACUUAGUGAACUAAACCUAAAAUGUAGUUAAAUGAGCUAAACCUAAAAAUGCAUUUAAAUGAGUUAGACUAAUGCAACUAAGGUCACAAUUGGGAUCCAUAAAAAUCUCUUGACAACGAAUCUCUAAAGGUGACUUAAAAAUAACACCAAAUGAGAGAAAAACACUUAGAAUAACAUGUGCUACUAAGACAAAAUGGAGGAUCUACAAGUGCACCACUCCCCUUCUUCCUGUUCGUAGAUUCCUAUAAUUACCUGUUUCCAAAGGGGGUUCCUUUUACUAACAAAUCUUUAGGACCAUUUUCUCAACAAAGCCUUAUUAAGAAUGGAUAAGUUUCUAAUGCCCAAACCCUUUUUUUAUUUUUCCAUGCAACAAAUAAACCAGUUCACCAAAUGAGGCUUGUGAGUCAUAGGCCUCCUUUCCCACAGAAAAUCCAUUUGAAUAUUUUCUAACUCAUAACUAUCUUUUUCGGGAUGGCAAAAAGGGACAUGAAAUAAAUCGUUAAGUUAGACAAAGUACUCUUUAUCAGAGUUUGUCUUAUCCCCUUUGAAAGAUAUUGUCUUUUCCAUAAAGCAAGCCUUUUCUAAAAAUGUUCUUCUAUUCUGUAACGACUUGCACCCAACCAUGUAGAUAUUGUCUGCUUUGGGCCUAAGGGGGCCCCUCACGGUUUUAAAAUGCGUCUACUUGGUUAAGUGGAGCUUCUACAUAUAUAGUGUUAUAAACUUUCUCCCCUAUUCGAUGUAGGACAUCAUAAACACCCUUCCAUGCAGACACGACGUCCUCGUUGUGUCCCAUGGGAUUGCGGGGUCAAACAGACAAACAUCCCUUACAGGGCCAAACAAACCCCGACACCGGGGUCAGGGAUCGGUUCUGAUACCAUUUAUAACGACCCGCUCUCAACCGUGUAGAUAUUGUCCGCUUUGGACCCAAAGGGGUCCUCACGGCUUUAAAACGCAUCUACUUGGUUAAGAGGAGCCUCUACAUAUACAGCGCCAAGAACUUUCUCUCCUAUUCGAUGUGAGACAUCACAAACACCCUCUCAUGCAGACAUAACGUCCUUGUUGUGUCCCAUGGGAUUACGGGGUCAAACAGACAAACACCUGUUUGAGUCCAAAGCGGACAAUAUCUACACAAUUGAGAGUCAGUCGUUACAAAUGGUAUUAGAGCCGAUCCUCGACCCCGGUGUGGGGGUUUGUUUGGCCCCGUAAGGGGUGUUUGUCUGUUUGACCCCGAAAUCUCAUGGGACACAACAAGGACGUUGUGUCUGCAUGAGAGGGUGUUUGUAAUGUUCCACAUCGAAUAGGGGAGAAAGUUUCUGGCACUAUAUAUGUAGAGGCUCCUCGUAAUCAAGUAGACGCGUUUUAAAGUUGUGAGGACCCCUUUAGGUUCAAAGCGGACAAUAUCUACACGGUUGAGAGCGGGUCGUUACAUACUCUGUCCCAAACCUUAUAAAACUUGUCAGGGGCUCCUAAUGGUGGGCCUAAAUAGGUAGUAGGAAGAGCACCCGCCUUACAACCUAAAAUCCCAACAAGCUCCUCCAAGUUAGAGACAUCUCUAAUAGGGAUCAACUCACUUUUCUCUAGGUUGAUCUUUAGCCCUAAUAUCAUUUCAAACCAUAUAAAGAUCUAGCUCAAGUAUUCUAAAUUCUCUUUGCUAGCAUCACAAAGAAUGAGUGUGUCGUUUGCAAAAAAUGAAGUGGGAGACCUCCACCCUCAACCCUUUACUAAGAGGCCAUCAAUAAAACCCCCUUCUUUUGCCUCAAGAAGAAUGCGAGAAAGAGUCUCCAUUGCCAGAAUGAAAAGAUAAGGAGACCAAGGGUUUCUUUGUCUUAACCUCCUAGAGCUUUGGAAGAAACCUGAAGAGGAUCCAUUUACCAAGACCGAGAAACAUGCUAUAGAGAUACACCAUUUAAUCCAACUAAUCCACUUGGAUCUGAAACUCAUUUUCUCUAACAAAGUAAGGAUAAAACUCCAAUCAACAUGAUUAUAAGCUUUUUCAAUGUCAAGCUUACAGAUGAUUCAUCUCAAGUUGCCUUUAAUUCUAGAAUCAAUGGCCUCAUUUGCUAUCAAAACAACAUCCAAAAUUUGUCUACUCACCAUAAAAGCAUGCUGAAAAUCUAAGACUAAGUUGCAUACCACCUUUUUAAGUCUGUUUGCAAGGACCUUAGCUAGAAGCUUGUCAACCCCCAAAGAAAAAAAUGAUCACAUACUCAAAUUAUACCAUUAAAUAACCAACUUCCUAUGCCUUUCUUUUCCUCUUAUUUCUCUCUUCUCCAUGGCAUCAAACUUAAUUCCAGAGAGAACACAAAAGCCCAUAACGAUGUUGAUAUCAGACAUUGAAUAAAUCGGGUUCAAUGAAAUCUAUUUCUAUUUUUCAUGUUAUCGCUAUUUCGGAUUAGCUAAUAUUGGCUUAUUAAGUCAUCCAUCGUCAUAAGUAAUUUGCCUAAAACAUCCUUCCAAUUAAGAAUCACCAUCCUUGUAGGGAUUAUUCCCAUAUAAAAAAUAAAAAAUAAAAUGAAGGGGUAAUUGAUUGUUAUGCCUAAACUUAAUUCUUGGAAGAAGAUUUUACCAGAAAAAAGAGAAAGAAAAGCCUCUUUAUUUUUUAUUUAUUUAUUUAUUUUUUAUUAUGGAAAGAAACUACAAGGUAGAGUAUCUGCACAUUCAAUUGAAAGAAUAACCAUAGUAAUCUUCAAAGCCAAACUUUGUAACAUCUCUAGGAAAAUCUGACCUUCAAGUGAAAGAUAUAUAAGUGCAGAUAACUUUUUUAGUUAAACAAUCUGUUGUUCUAUUUGCUUUUCUAUAAAUAUGACGAGAAAUACAAACAUUAAGGUCUUGAGUUAUCUUUCAAAUAUCUUCUAUUAACAACAUAAUAGAACUAGGAAUGUUACUCUUUUUGUUAUAACUAUUUAUCACUGCUUUGAGUUACCUUCAAUCUCUAGAUUUAAGAACCUAUUAUUCUUAGUAACUAACACAUCAUCUCUAAAAGUCAUACAUUUUGCAAUAAUUAUUGACGUCUUGCCUAUAUGCCUACUUAUAGCCAUUUUUAUUAUACUUUUAGAAUCUCUAAUAACCCAUCUUAAUGCACUUCUAUUCUCUACCCUGGAACUUUAAUUUGAAAUUUCCACUAAUCGGAGGAAUCUAAUGAAUCCAUUUUUGAACCACUCGAGGGACAAAUCGUCCUUCGUUUUGAAGUUGGGGAUCGGUCACAUAUUCCUAAAGAUUUUGAAAGUUAGAGGUAGCUUUCUCAAUAACAAGAAAGGGGUUUGGUUGGAUCUUCUUAAACACUAUUUGAUUUCUAUGGAUCCAUCCAUUCCACAAGAUGAUAGCAAAUUUUUCCAUAGGACUGUUGAAAAUCUUACAAUUAAUUUUAUAGUUUUUAUACACCGUUUCAAUCCAUGAUAAAAAAUCACCUUCAAACAAAAGAGAUGUAGGACAAUUAAACUUGAUGCGGUCCCAAAUUCCUUGGACAAAAAGGCAACUUUUAAAAAUAUGGUCAAUAUUUUCCCUAUUAUGAUUGCAAAGACAACACAUGUUCGAAAUUUCCAUUCGUCUAGCUAUUAGGAACUCGCAAGUAAGAAGAGCAUUUCUAAUAACUAGCCAUAAGAAAAAAUUUAAUUUUGUCAUAAGAUUUAAAUUCCAAAUCCAAUGUGGUAUUUUGGAUCUAGGGUGCAUCAAAGGCUUUCUUAUAGCCCAAGUGGCUAACUUAAGAGUGAACUUACCAUCUUGUGAGAAUUCCCAAAAAAUCCUAUCACAUAAGGGAGAGGAAGGAAUUGGGAUUGCUUUAAUAUCUGCUAGAACAUUUAGAGGGAGGAUUGAGGAAAUAGACUAUAGAUUCUACUCUUUGAAAUCCUGAUUUAUAAAGUCAUACACUUUGGCAUACCAAUUGAUGUAAUGUAAGUGAUUUUCAUCCACAAAAGAAAUAAGUGGCGACAUGUAAACCCAAAAAUCUGUCUAAAAGUAGACUUUCCUCCCAUCUCCUAUGCACCAUUUUAGCCCAACUCCAAUAUAUUUUCUAUGGUUAAUGACUUCCCUCCAAACAAUAGAAUCUCCUUUCUUUUUUGGGAUCCUGAAGAAAUUGUUGUUUUUAAUAUAUUUUCAGAAUUCUAGUGAAAUGGGGAGGGGAAGUUAGACCGAACGUGUUGGAAAUCGAAGGAGAGGAAGAAAGCUACGUCGUGCCUCUCUGGUGGGAAUGGUGGCCGGUGUUGAGGAGGAAAUGUAGGGACGAAGCUGAUCGUCAAAGCAGGGAGGUCAGGGGUGAGGAGGAAACACGCGCGGGGCAGCGAGUGAUGAAGGGCUGGGGGAGCGGGAGGCCCGAGGUGCUGCAACCUUCUGACGAUGGGACGGUGUUGCAGGGGGCGGGUCGGGUCGGAUCGAGUCCGAUCCAGAAUUAAGCCCGUCAAACUGUAAUUGGGCCUCACCUGAUGAAACGAUAUCCUUAAGCCCAAUCGUGGGUUCAAAGGAAACAAGGAGGGAGGACGGGCCCAGUCUAUUGCUUGGGUCCAUGGAUUUGAAAAAUAAAGGGGUGGCUGUAAGUGAGGCUGGCCCAGACGAAGGCCCAUCGGAAGGUGUGGGUUGCUAUUUUAAAGAUCCAGCUUGGUCUCCAGCCCAGCUAACAAAUAAAGCCAUAUUGGGUUAUAAGGCCUGCACUUCAUGGAAGGGCUCUAAGGCAUUGGCAGCCCAAGAGGUGACGAGCCUUAGUCUGAAGGGUCCUGCGCACAAGCAUCUUCCAGAAGCGGAAUUCUUUGCUGCGAGGGAGAGUGAGGAGACAAGGAAGUCACAAGGAGGGGUGAGGCUGACAGAGACGGAUAGGGCGCUGGAGGAGGAAUCAAAGAGGUAUGGAAAGGGGGUUGGUUUCAGGGGGAAAAGGGAAAUGGGGAAUUCUCAUCUUAAUCUUCUUUCUUUUGAUCGGACUCCAGGGGGGGAGUCUUUCGAUCACUCUGGGGAUUUGGUGGAGGAGGGCUGGGCCGAUAAAUCACUGUGGCUAACAGUGUAUAAGGCAUGCAAUGAAAGAAUCAAGGAAUGUAAGGAAUCGGGAGGUAUCCAAUGCAACGGUGACAAAAGUAGGGAGAUGGAAAGGGCAGGCGAUAUAGAUGAUGCUCAAGUUGUGAGAAGUGAGAUGGAGGGUAAUUGGGAAGAGAGUGGUUUGGCAAGAUUCAGCAAGUUUCUGGGCUUCUCUACGGAGGGAUUAGAGAAGGAAAUUCUGAAUUUUUUGACAAAGAUCAGGAAAAGAAAGGAGAAAAUACAUAGCAAAGAGUUAUUGGAAAAGUCUAAAUUUGAAAGGGAGUUAAAACGUUUAGAAUGUUCCAUAAACUAUGAGGGAGGGCUGAAACAGAAAGGUUUGGUACAGGGCAAAGGGCGUCAAAUAGUAAUUGUCCAAUGAAGGUGAAAAUUUUGAGCUGGAAUGUGAGGGGGGCAAAUGAUAGCUCCAAAAGAAAAGUGAUUAAGACGUUUAUAAGAAAUCAGAGGGUGGACUUAUUGUGCAUUCAGGAGACAAAAGUGCAGUGCAUGACGGAUAGCAUUGCGAGAAGUAUAGGAUCCGGGAGAUUCUUAGGCUGGAAAGCAGUGAAUGCGGAGGGAGCUUCGGGAGGUAUUCUUAUAUGCUGGGAUAGAAGGGCUCUGGAAUUGCUAGAUUGGGAGGAGGGUCAGUUUACCUUGUCCUGCAGAUUUCGCAAUGUAGAAGACGGAAAUGUAUGGGUUUUUAUGGGAGUGUAUGGUCCUUUUUCUAAGGAAGAGAGGGCGGCUUUGUGGGGAGAGUUUGGGGCGAUUAGAGGGCUGUGGGAGGAUCCUUGGUGCAUAGGGGGGGAUUUUAACAUUACUUUAUUUUCAAGGGAAAGGAGUGGGCAGAGGAGGAUAAAUUCAGCAAUGAGAAAUUUUGCUGAAAUUGUGGAUGAUCUGGGGCUGGUGGAUCUUCCUCUUCAGGGGGGAGACUUUACUUGGAAUGGGGGCCUUCAUAAUCAGUCUUGGGCUCGUUUGGACAGGUUUCUUGUGUCUCCUAGUUGGGUAGAUCAAUUCAGUGGGAUUUAUCAGUGUCGGCUGCCCCGGCCGGUGUCCGAUCAUUUCCCAAUUAUGCUAGUGGGGGAUGGGAUAAGACGAGGGCCGACCCCUUUCAGAUUUGAAAAUAUGUGGCUCAAGACUGAGGGCUUUAAAGAGCUAGUACGCAAUUGGUGGCAAGAAAUUGAUGUUAGGGGUAGUGCUAGCUACAAGUUGGCUAUUAAAAUGAAGGAAAUCAAACAGAAGCUGAAAGUGUGGAAUAGAGAAGUAUUUGGCAAGCUGGAGAGCAACAAAUCUGCAGCUUUGCAACAGGUGGAAUUUUGGGACAGGGAGGAAAAGGAUAGAGUUCUGACUAUGGAGGAAUCAGAACUUAAGAAAGAGGCAAAAGAAGAUUACAAAAAAUGGGUGAUUAUGGAGGAGACUCACUGGAGACAACUUUCUAGGGAGAUAUGGCUGAAAGAGGGGGAUAGAAACACGGGCUUCUUUCAUCGCAUGGCAAGUGCGCACCGUAGAAACAAUUGCAUGGAGAAAAUUAAGAUUAAUGGGGAGUGGUUUCUAGAGGAGCAGGAAAUUAGAGAAGGAAUUGCUAAUGCGUUCAAAGAGUUUCUUUCGGAAGAUACGGGGUGGAAGGCGGAUAUUGGGAGUCUCCAGAUAGAUCAGAUCAGUCAAGAAGAGGCUGAGAUUUUGGAGAGGCCCUUUACAGAGGAGGAGAUUCAGGGGGCCUUAAUGGAGAUGAAUGGGGAUAAAGCCCCUGGGCCGGAUGGGUUUACUUUGGCUUUUUGGCAAAGUUGUUGGGAGUUUAUGAAAGAGGAGAUCAUAGAAAUGUUCAAGGAAUUCUAUGAGACUAGUUCUUUCCUCAAAAGUUUAAACAACACUUUUUUGGUCUUGAUCCCCAAGAAAUGUGGUGCUGAGGAUCUUGGGGAUUUUAGACCUAUAAGUCUGUUAGGGGGCCUCUACAAGUUAUUGGCUAAGGUGCUGGCCAACAGAUUGAAGAGAGUGGUUGGUAAGGUGGUCUCAUAUUCUCAGAAUGCCUUUGUGAGGGGAAGGCAGAUCCUUGACGCCUCUCUGAUAACAAAUGAAGUGAUAGACUCCUGGCAAAAACGAAAAGAAAAGGGUCUUAUAUGCAAGCUGGAUAUAGAGAAAGCCUAUGAUAGUAUCAAUUGGAAGUUCCUAUUGAAGGUGAUGCAGAAAAUGGGCUUUGGGUCUAAGUGGGUGGGGUGGAUGUGGAGUUGUCUAUCUUCAGCAAAAUUCUCAGUGAUGGUUAAUGGAGUGCCUGCAGGCUUCUUUCCUAGUUCAAAAGGUCUUAGGCAAGGAGAUCCCUUGUCUCCUUAUCUCUUUGUUAUGGGAAUGGAAGUGUUGGAUGUUCUUAUUAAGAGAGCAGUGGAGGGGGGCUUUCUAUCAGGGUGCAACAUAAGGGGCGGUAGGGAAUCUUCUUUGCAUAUCACUCAUCUGUUCUUUGCGGACGAUACCAUCAUAUUUUGUGAAGCCAGAAAGGACCACUUAACUCAUUUAAGUUGGAUCUUGUUUUGGUUUGAAGCGGCUUCAGGACUAAAGAUUAAUCUAGCAAAGAGUGAAAUCAUUCCAGUGGGAGAGGUGGUGGGGAUGGAAGAGCUGGCUGUUGAGCUAGGGUGCAAGGUGGGUUCUUUACCUUCUCAGUACUUGGGUCUACCCUUAGGGGUCCUCAAUAGAGCGCCUCAUAUGUGGGAUGGGGUGGAAAAGAGGGUCAGGAGAAGACUAGCUCUUUGGAAGAGGCAGUAUAUGUCUAAAGGGGGAAGAGUUACUUUAAUAAAAAGUACCUUGGCUAGCAUGCCAAUAUAUCAAAUGUCAAUCUUCAGGAUGCCUAAGGUGGUGGCUAGAAGAAUUGAGAAAGUGCAAAGGGACUUUUUAUGGGGAGGAGGACAUAUGGAGGGGAAAACUCACUUGGUUAAUUGGGAGGUGGUUUGUACAGAUAAAGCUAGAGGGGGGCUAGGUAUUCGAAAGCUAGCCUUGUUGAACAAAGCGUUACUUGGCAAAUGGAUAUGGAGGUUUGCUAGUGACAAAGAUAACCUUUGGAAACAAGUGAUCAAGAUGAAGUACGGACAGGAGGACUUCGGGUGGAAGACAAAGAAGGCUAGGGGGGCGGUGGGAGUAGGGGUUUGGAAGGAAAUUUGGAAAGAAUCAGAAUGGUGCUGGAAUAACAUGAGUCUCAAAGUAGGGAAGGGCAACACAAUCAGAUUUUGGACAGAUGUGUGGUGUUCAGAGAUAGCGUUGUCCCAUUGUUUUCCUCAUCUCUUUGCUAUGGCGGUUCAAAGGAACUCAACGGUUGAGGAAAUGUGGGACCAAAAUUCGGGUCGCGGAAAUUGGAAUCUUAAUUUCUUGAGGGAUUUCAAUGAUUGGGAGAUGGGGUUGGUGGGGGAUUUUCUUCAGGUUUUGAGGGGCCACAAACCCUCUGGGGUAGAAGACUCAGUCCUGUGGAGUAAAGAAAGAAGGGCACACUUCAGGGUAAAGGAAGCUUAUAAUUUGCUGGUGAGAUCUGAUGAUACAAGUUUUCCUUCAAAAAGCAUUUGGGUGACAAGGGUGCCAACUAAAGUUUGUUUUUUUGCAUGGGAGGCGACGUGGGGGAGGGUGCUGACUUUGGAUAGACUUCAAAGAAGAGGCUUACAACUUCCAAAUCGAUGCUUUCUGUGUGGUUGUGAGGAAGAAAGUGUAAAUCAUAUUCUCUUACACUGUACAGUGGUCAGAGUUCUAUGGGAUAUAGUGUUUGGUUUAGUAGAUGUGAAAUGGGUCUUCCCAGAAACUGUAAAGGAUGUUUUAGUUAGUUGGAGGGGCUCGUUUGUGGGAAACAAAAGGAAAAAGAUUUGGAAAGCCAUUCCGUUGUGUAUUUUUUGGACGGUGUGGAAGGAAAGGAAUAGAUUAACAUUUAGGGGGGGGGGGGGGGGGGGGGUUGAAAAUUCAAAAAUUAAAAAAUUUUUUUUUUUUCAUUUUUGGGGGCGGGGCCAAAUUUUUUUUGGGGGAGGGGGGGUUUCCCCUUUAAGGAUUUUUUGGGGGGGGGGCUUCCCCUUAAAGGGGGGGGUUUUGGUUUUUUUUUUUUUUUUNNNNNNNNNNNNNNNNNNNNNNNNNNNNNNNNNNNNNNNNNNNNNNNNNNNNNNNNNNNNNNNNNNNNNNNNNNNNNNNNNNNNNNNNNNNNNNNNNNNNGGGGGGGGGGGGGGGGGGGUGUUGAAUAUUCAGAAGUUAAAGAAUUUUUUUGUUUGCAAUUUGUGGAGCUGGGCCAAACUGUAUGUAGGUGAGGAGGCGUUCUCUCUUAUAGGAUUUCUUGAGUGGAUGGCUUCCACUUAAAGGGAGGGGUUUGUGUUUUUUUGUUGUUUUUGAGGCUUAGAUGCCUUGUAUACCCCCUGUAUACUUUAUGGCGUCUUGCCUUUUGAAUGAAUAUAUUUUACUUAUCAAAAAAAAAUAUACUUUUCUCUCUUUAUCCUAGCCCAAAUGUUAUAUUUAUUCGUGAGGAUUCUCCACCCUAGUUUAGUAAUUGUAGCUUUAUUAACAUCUUCAUAACUCCUAAUUCCUAGCCCUUCUUUAGAUUUAGGUCUACGGACGUCAUCCCAAGCUAUCAAAGGAAAAUCUUUAGACUCAUUAGACCCUACAUUUGAUAACCAGAGGAAGCUUCUGUUUGAUUCUAUCUAGAUCCUCAUUAUUUCUCAUUGUAAGUUUGAAACAAUUCAUAACAUUUUGCGGGGAGCUAGCCAAAUUAGCCUUUAUUAAGACUAUUUUACCAGCUCUUGAAAGGAACUGAGCUUUCCAAGAUGCAAGCUUUUUUUGAGAUUUGAGAAUUACUAUAGAAAAAGUGCUUCUUUUAACUACCUUGAAUUAUUGGACAACCAAGAUAUUUGCUAAUGCUAUGGGAAAUAGGAAUGCUUAGAGCUUCCCCAAGCCUCCUCCUCAUAGCUCCUUGAAUAUAUAACUAGAAAUCUGGACUGAGGAUUUAUGAAAAUUCACAAGCUGUCCUGCCAUGGCACAAAAAUGAUCCAAAAUCCUAUUGAUAUUUGCACAAGCAUUUUGAGAUGCUUUAGCAAAGAUGAUACAGUCAUCGGCAAACAUAAGGAAAGGAAUUCUAGGUCCAUUUCGAUGAGUUGCGAUUCCUAGAUGAUUUCUAGGGUUCUCCGUUUCUUAUACUAACUCUCUACCCAUAUAUUCUGUUACCAAUCUAAGGAAUGUACGUGUAGAUAGGAGGAAAGUUUUAGAGAGCAGGAGGAUGAUUGCCUGAGAAAAGAACAGGAAAUGAUGAGUAAACUCUCUGUUCAAAAUAGUUCCUGCCUAUUCUAGAAGCAUACUUUAUUUUAACCGUACUCAAUGAGUUCCUUCACUUCCUUGGCCCUCACCAAUCAACCCAUGUUAAGUAUAUUUCCUCCUUGUCACAUAGUACGAUGAAGUCCCCUAGUUCCAGAACCAAUAUUUUUUGAUAAAUGAAGACUCAAAUUAAAAUAAAAAGAGCCUCCAGAAAAGCGGCCCAAGAUAUACAAGAAAACCCAAUAUCCCCCACUACGCCCAGCAAACUCGCAACAUAUCCCCACCUGCACCUCACUUUUUAUUCAAAUUCACCUUCAAUCUGGAUGCUGCUUCAAAAUAAAAUAAGACGGUCUUGGCUUCCUCUCCGGUUCACAAAUUUUCCAUUUCUACUUCUCAAUGUAGAGGAAAUACUUCCUGCUUUACAAAUAGACUUUAGCUCAUUGAAAUUUAUAAUUUUUGCAUGAUUAUAUGAUAGUACUCAAACUUGAAUGUAAGAUGCUUCUUUCUGUUUGAUUUAUGAGUUCUGGAACUUCAUUUUCCUAUGACCUUCAAGCAAUAUGUAUUAUCUCCAAUUCAGGUUCUGAUAUGCAAUCCCAUUAUUGUAAUUUGUGUCUAGGUGCAUAGGGAUGAUUUCUUGCCAAAUGUGAAACUUCAGCUUUUUGCUCUCAUUGCAAAGCAACAAGCUUUUCACCAACUUAGAUCAGUUGAGCAACUUGGGUACAUCACUGAGCUCAUGCUGAGGUAUAGAGAAAAUAAAAAUGAAAAAAUGAAAAAAUGAAAAAGAAAUUGUACCUAAACUUGUUUAAUUCAGAAUCUCUUCUAUUAUAUUUAAAAUUUCUAAAAUCUCUCUCAAUGUAGGAAUGAUUCUGGUAUUCAUGGAGUGCAGUUUAUGAUUCAAUCUACAGUAAAGGUACAUAAAAUAGUUCUCUGCUUUGCAUGUCCCCAUUUGCUGCAUCUAAAACACUCUCUGGAUCUUGACAGGGUCCUGGACAUAUUGAUUCAAGAAUCGAGGAGUUUCUAAAGAUGUUUGAGUUUAAACUUUAUGCAAUGUCUGAAGAUGAAUUUAAGGUGAGAUAAAUAAUGCCAUUUUGUCUUCAGUAAUUUUUCCUUUCUAUACUGAUCUGUUUUUUGUAAUGACCUCUAUCAUACUUGUUGAAGCAAUUCAUCUAUUUGAUCACUUCCCAACCAUAAAGAAAGUAGAUAUACCUCUUCCCCCUCUAAUAAUUUUGAAGAUGUUUUAGAAGUUUUCUCUGAACUUUAAUAUUCUAUUUCAAUCUCCUUAAAAUGGGAAUGUGAAAUAAGAUGGAGAAAAUUGUAAAUCAAAAUCAGACACUAGACUUUCCUGUUUGUGGAGGAAAAGCUGAACCUUCUAUAUUUCUAACUACAAAACUAGUUUGUAAAAUCGAACCCUUCAACCUACUUGCAAGGAAGGAUGGGAUUUCUGUGAGGAUCUUACCUACAGCGCUACCUGGCCAAAGAGGCAGGAGUGUCUGCACCAAUUUUUUAUUUUAGCUACUGACCUUCACCUCUGUUUUUUGUCCGUAGACAAAAAAUUUCUGACUCUUUUCCCUUACAUAAGAUCGUAAGCCAAAGGCAUCUAACUUAACUCUGCUGCUCUAGGAGGGAUCCAAUCAUGAUGCAAUACUUAAAUAUUGUGAGGGCUAGGAAGUUUAUCAAAUCCUAUCAGCUGUUGCCCCCACAUGAUCAUGAACUCAAGCAAUUGGACUCAUAGAAUAUCCUGCACAUUGAACAGAUUUUAGGUGUUUGGUAACAUGAAUGGGGUAUCAAUGGAUUUUAUUCUCGUCUUUUUUGAACGGCGAGUUCAACUGAACCUUCUUGGUGAAUUAUUUUUACCAUACAUCUGCCUUAAAAACUCAGAGGUCUGGCCCUUUUAAUGUGAAAUAACAACUGGAGUGAUGAUUUAUAAGGUAAUGUAGAUGAAGUGAUUGAUUUGAAGCAUGUGUAUUCCGUCUUGGUGAUUAUGGAUUUCAUGCAUAUCUUUCUUUUUCUUUUUAAUGGCUCCAUGAUUACAGCUGUCCCCUUUUGGGGAGCUUACGGCCCUUUUAACAGUGAAAUAACAGCUGAGUUGAUCAUUGACAGAGUAAUGUGAAUACACUCGUUGAUAUGAAGCUCGAGAAGUACAAGAAUUUAUGGGAAGAAUCUGGAUUUUACUGGCAAGAAAUCUAUGAUGGGACCCUCAAGUUUGAUAGGACAGAAGCUGAGGUAUGAGCAUAAUUAUUUUUUUCCCCAUCCUUUAGAAGUGAAUCCCAUGAUUUCUCAAGGUGGCAUGAACCAUUCAAAACAGACCCUUUUACCUAACACUUCCAAAUGGCGAUGAACAGGUUGCAGCAUUGAAGAAGCUAACCCAAAAAGAACUUAUAGAUUUCUUCAACGAACAUAUAAAAGUCGGUGCACCUCAGAAGAAGACAUUAAGUGUACGAGUUUAUGGGUGCCUACAUACUUCAGAGUAUGCAGAGGAGCAAAAGGAAGCAAAUCAACCCAUCCAAGUUAAGAUAGAUGAUAUUUUCAAGUUCAGAAAAUCACAACCCCUGUAUGGCUCAUUCAAAGGAGGCCUCGGACACGUGAAGCUGUGAAGAUAUGUCAAAUCUUGUACCCAAUUCUUCAUGAAGAAAAUUGAACUGCAAACCGAGUUAUAGAAUGUAGUGGCCAGAAAACUCAUCUGAGGAAGCAGGUACGUCAUCCAUUUGUUUUUCAAAGAUGGAGAUGAUAUUUGAUACUUGGUACCAAACUCAUGGCAUCGUUUCUGGUUUCUCUUUGGAAUUAGUUUCACAGAUUGUGUCCUUUUACGUGUACUUUUACAUGUACCAUUUGUGUAAUUUAAUAAAAUUUAUCUAAAUAUUCCAAUAAAUCUCAUGGACUGUAUGUCGAUUGACCAAAUACCUAAUCUAUUUCAAAAGCAUGUCAUCGAUUAAGAUGAUUUGAUUUCAAUAUGUAUAUUUGGUUGGCAAAAUUGGAUAUCAUCUUACGUGUAUGAGGACUUUAUUUUAAAUAUGACAUGAUAUCAAUGGGCUAUGAUGCUCAUGUUUGCCUUUGGUUUGUAUAAAGAUAAAAAAAUGGAAUGAAAAAUAUAUUAUGUUUCUUUUAAUAUUUGUUUAAAAUAAAAUUAAAAAAAUUGUGUAUCUUAAUAUUUGCUAUUAAAACAAGCAUGACAUUUUUCUCAAAUUUAGUUUUAUUUACAAAUUAUUUUACAAUUUAUUAUAAAUUUUUUUGUUUAUAAUAUUCAUGAUUAAAAGUUUUAAAAUUUAUAAAUGAAAAAUAUUAUAUUAUGUUGUUUAAUGUAUACAAAUAUUUUUCAUAUAUUAAUAAUUAUACAUAAGCAUUAGUUAAUAAUGUAUUUGAAAAAGUCUCCAAUUUUUUCUUGUUUUGAAGUACAAUUUUAAUUAUUUUUAAUAAAAAAAGCUAGUUACAUAUAUCAAAAUAUGAGAGAAUAAUGGUUUGUUUGACAACUGUAUUUUAGAAUAGUUUUUUGUUCUUUAGAUCAUUUGAUAAUUAUAAAUUGUUUUCUAUUUUUUGUUCUUAAAAGCAGAAAAUAGAGUUUUUUUUUUAUAAAACAUCUUUUAAUUGUUUUCAUAUCUUUUUUAGGGUGUUUUAAAAAAUAAUUAUAUAAGCAUGUAGAAUAAUUAAAAAUAAAAUAUUGGAUAUAAAAAAUAUUUUUAGAACAUAUUUAAAACAAGUUUAAAAUAUUUUAGAUUUUCAAAUAGGCUUUUGUUCUAUAAUUUUCAAAAAUUAUUCUUGAAAAUUGUUUUUUAAGAACCGUGUAUUCAAAAAUAAUUUUUUGUUUUUUACAAUAAAAAAAUAGGAAAAUAAAUUUGGCAACAAAAGAAUUGUUUUUAAAAACAAAAAACAUAGUAUUUUUCAAAAAUCGUUUUUAAGUUGUUUUUUUUUUACUUGUUUUCGAAUGUUGUUUUGAAAAAUAAUUAUAAAAAUAAAAAAAUGAUUAAAAAUUAAGCAUUAUAAAAAUUAUUUUUAAACAUGUUUGAAAAAGGUUCAAAACUUAAAAUGUUUUUAAUGUUUUUAAACAUAGCUACUAAAUAGGGUCUUAAUGAUUGAAAAAAAAAAGGUAAAAAAGAAAAGAAAGAUUAAAUAAUAAACAAAUUUGAAUCUAAUAAAAUUUACCAAAUUUUCUUCAUUUUUUAAAAUAGAAGUUAUCAAAUAUAAUAAAUUAUUUUUAUAAUAAAAACGAAAAUAGAGCUUUAAAAUGUCAAAAAGACUGUUAUCUUUUAAAAAUACAACUUCAAAUAUAUAUUUUAUAUUGUAUCAUUUUUUUUUCAGAUUUCUUUUCAUUUGUGUUCAUAUCACUGGAAAGUAUAAUAGAAAUUGAAAGAUAGAAGGGAAGAGAUAAGUGAUAAGAGAGAAGAGGAUGAUAAUAAUUGAUAUGGUGGAAAGCUAUUUGUACCCAUAAAUAAUAAUUAUUUAAAAACAAACUCUAAUAUAUUAAAAUUAUAAUUUUAAAAAAAGAUUUAUGAAUUUUCUUUGUGAUGAAAAUUAUAUAUAUAUAUAUUUGUAUGAAAUACGAUUUUAGUAAUUAUCCAUUAAGUAAUAUUUAUUUAUUAAUAAAUAAAAAAUAAAAAUAAGUUUUCUCCUAUAUAUUUAUUUUCAUUUCUUAGGUUACGUUGAUAGGAAAAGAGGAGAGUUUCAUGCAUAGGAAAAAAAAGAACAGACAGAAGCUCAAUACAACCCCGUAAACCCUUAACUCUCACGUCGUUUCUUCUUUUUCAUCCAAGGAUGCAGCAGAAAAUCAAAAUCAAUUUUCUGAAAUAAACUUCAAACCCUUUGAUCUGAUUUUUUUUUUUUUUUUGUUUAGGGAGUGUUGGAUUUUAUUUUGCAUUUUUGAUAGUUGCGAAAAUUGAGUACAGUUCAAUAUUAAAAUCCUCCUGAAAAAAGUUGUGAUUUUCUAUUUGUUAUUUUUUUUUUACUAUAGUUCUGUUUGGAUCCCAAGAAAAUAACUAGGUAAACGAAAGAAACUGCUGGAAUAAUGGAAUUAGAAGUUUAGAACUGACGUAAAAGAAGACAAUCAAUUAGACCAAAAACAAAAAUUGUGUUUGGGGAACUUGAGUAUUGAAAAUAGCUCUCGGUAAACCGUAGAAGUAUUGUAUACUCGUGUAAAAUACAAAAACUCCGAUGUGAUUUAUAGGUGUGACAACUUUGAUGUCAUAACCGAACACAAGCCUCUUGGAAAAACCUGUGAAAGUUCUCCAUCCAAGUGAGUGGUCCAGAAAGAGUCUACAUAAGGACAAAAUGUAAUUUUCCACGUAGAAACCACUGCUUUCUUGACUUGUCUGUUUCCUCCCACACUUUUUUGUUAGCAACAACUCCGCCUUUAUUGGCCCCAAACUGCCCAUCAAUUGACCAAAUACCACACUCUGAUGUUACCAUAGUCUCUCAUUGCUAUGAUAUUUUUUUUAAAAAUUUAUGUCAUGGUAUAGUUCCAGAUGAUACGUGUUCAUUUCUCAACUACUAAGUUAUUAAAUUGAAUAAAAAUCAAAUCAUGAUAGUUUACUUAAUGAUUAAUUUCAAGAAAACUUCUAAUAAAUUUGUUAUUAUUUUCGCAAUGUUAAGGAAUUUUAAGUGAUUUUAAAAUAUUUGUUUAGGUUAUGUUUGGUCCCGAAAAGUACAAAGGAAAGAAAAAAAGUAUUAAGAAAAAUGAUUUUCUCAUGUUUGGUUAUCUUAUAAAAUAUUCCAAAGAAAAUUAAAUAUAAUUAAAAUUAGUUAGAAAUUUAUAUAUUUUAAAAUUAUUUAAUCUUUAUAUUAAUGAGUUAAAAUAAAUAAAAUGAGUUUGAAGUAGUAAAUAAAAAUAAUUUAUCAUCUUUAAUUCUAUUUUUUAUUUUCCUUCACUUUUUCUUUCCUUUUACUUUUCCUCUCUAUUUUAUUUCCUUUGCAUUUUCCCUCAAAUUUUCCAAGAACCAAACAUAGCCUUGGGGCUCUUUGGUAAAACUUUAUACUUAUUACUUAAUAAUUUAAGUUGAUUUAAAAUUAAAUUAUUAACUUAAAAUUUAUUACUUAAUUUUUAUUUUAAGCAUUAAAAUUGUUUAUUACAUUUAAUUUCAAAUUUAUUUUAAAUCAUCAAAUUGAUAUAUUUAUCUUUAUAAAUUAUAAAUAAGAUAAAAAAUGUUAAGUAACAAUGAGAUCAUGGAAUAGCAAAAGAGAUUGUGGUGAUAAUUAUGACAAAUUGUAAUAAAAAAUAAAAUAAAAACGUAGAUUUAAAAACAAAUUAAUUAUUUUUAUUUAUUACUUAAAAUUGUUUUUAUUUUUAACUCAUGUCAUUAAAUCAUUUUACCAAAUAUAUUUAAUUUACAUAAUAACUUAGAUUAAGUUAUUAAGUUGGUUUUUGGAAUAUCCACUUAUAUUUUUUAUAUUGAAGAAAGUUCGUCUAAUGAUUUUCAAAUGAAAUUUUCAUUUAUUUGAUCAAAAGAAAUAAAAUAAUUUCAAAUUUAUCAAUACAGUUAUUCACAUAUGGUAGUCUAAAAAAUGACUAAUUUUUUAUUUUUUAUUUUUUUUAUAAAAAUGCCUUUCAUAUUUUUGGUAAAACAAUAUUAUCUUUUAAAACUUAUAUAAAAAUAAUAUAAAUAAUUCAAAUGUUAAAAAGUAUUUAUAUUAAAAAGGGGUAUUUUUCGGGGGUAUUUUACAUAUUUGAGAUUAUUUGAUGCUUUCAAUCAAAUAAUCCUUAUAUUAGACAUAAAUUAUUAGUAAAUAGCGUCAGCGGUGAUGAUUAAGAGGUCGGGGAACGGCAAUCUCCCUUUGAUUCGUUAAAUCUAUAUAAUUCUCCCCACAGACACGGCUUCUUUCUCCAAGAAGUCUACUGGGUACAGAGACCUAACCCUCUCCUCUCUUGAGAAAAAUUGCAUACAGAUAGAGAGGAGAAGAUAAUAAUCUUUCAGAUUCUUUCCAAGAAUGGGAGAAGCGGCGGCGGAGAUAGUGAAGCCUCGUACGGACACACGAGAGUACAGAAGAAUCGUUCUCCGGAACUCUCUCGAAGUCCUCCUCAUCAGCGAUCCUGAUACCGAUAAGG
Molecule: long non-coding RNA, 48850 nt
Filed under: Vitis vinifera (wine grape)
Lineage: Eukaryota; Viridiplantae; Streptophyta; Magnoliopsida; Vitales; Vitaceae
Description: long non-coding RNA (VVIN_LNC002690)
Source: RNAcentral